UGCAUUGCAGCUAUCUUUGGUUGCUUGGGCGCCAUCUUGCUAGAGCUCUCCUCAGUGGUGGAAAUGCUCUUAGAUCUAAUAAAAUCCUACACCAUCUUUUUUUUUUUUUUUUGGGGGUAGAACACACCACCUGUUUUAACACAUGAAAAAUGUGUUCGGAUUUACCUUAUUGGGUUAGGUCACAAAAAAUUUAUCCCAUUCUCAGUUUGUCAUCUUACAUUCUAAAUUUAACCUAUUUUUAUUUUAAAAUACUCAAGGGUGCAGAAUGACGCUACAAGCAACUGGCAAUCUUUGGAUAUCAUAACAUUAAUAUUGGGAAAAAGAAUCAAGUUCUUCAUUCUCCACCAACCUUUGAAAAGUAAACUUUUCAUUUGUUUAUUGGACGGUUUACAUAUUUUUUACCUAAUCAAAGAAUUCAUCUAAAAUACAUACAGUAUUUGCAUGAAGAUUUUCGAGUCAUAGUAAAAAAAAAAAAAACCAUUUAUUAAUCUUAUAAUGAAGUAUAAGAACAUAUGAUAUAACUAGUAUCCUGGUCCAGAAACAAAUAUGGCAUGGUGUGUGUGUAUAUAUAUAUAUAUAUACAAAGAGUUUUCAUUUAGGGAUUCUUCAAGUUAGCUUAUUUGAGGGACAUCUUUGUAGGCAGGAGCGGACCUACUAAGGCGCAAGGAGGUGCAGCUGCACCUCCCCUUCUCGGAAAAAUCAUUGUAGGCACUUCAAAUUGCCCCUUUGCUGAACUGGUAUAUAGAUUACCUUAUUUCCAUUUUUAACAUUUUACUUUUAUUUAUUUUUAUAUUACUCCAUUUACUUAAGUUUACAAUGUAAAUAAGGAAGUACCCCCCAUUUGGAUUCAAAUAAAAAUACUAGAAAAUCAAAUUCCCACCAAAUCAAAAUAUGAAAAUUUAGUUUUAGUGCAAAAUACGAUUUAGGCUAAAAAUGAUGGCUCAUUAAGUCAAUAUAUACUUUAUAUUAAAAUCCCAUAAAAUCAAGUUUUCUUAUUUGAUGUAUAAGGAAUAAAAGCCGCCAAAAAUUAUUUUGAGAAAAUGAUUAUUCUGAAAAACCAUUUUUCAUACUUAGUCAAUAUUGCACCUCCACUAAAAAAAUUCUGGGUCCGCCAGUGUUUGUAGGGUUCACUUUGCAUUGUAUUUCACUAAUCCAAACCGUCUAUAUUUUAGAUAAUCAUUCAAAGAUCAUCUCUACAAUAAAUCACUUGAAUCCGAUAUCGUUUGACAACUCAAUUGUGUUAUUGAAAUUUUAGUAUUUUAUUGAAGCAUUGUGUUCAUUGAUUUUGUAGGAUUCAAUUGGAUGUCGAAAUAUUUUCCGAUUUGUCUAAUUUUUUGCAAGGAUGACCUAUGAAUGUAGACUUAAAAAAUAGAUGGUUUGGAUCGUUAGAAAAUAAAUCAUAGGAUAACUUAAAAGGUGUCCCUCAAAUAUAUUUGAGGGAUCUACGAAUGUUUUUUCAACAAUCCAAACUAUCUAUAAAAUACGGUUUGAAUUAAUGAAAUACAAUAUAGAAUGAGCCCUACAAGGGUGUCCGAGAGAUCUCUCAACUGAAGCUCCCUAUAUAUAUAUAUUUGAUUAUAUAUAUAUAUAUAUAACCAAAUAUGGUAGUGAUCAUUGGUGAUGGGAGAUUCCUAUUUGUCAUCUUGAUGACAUAAGAAAUGGUUCAGUUGGAUUAUAAUUGAUAAUUUGAUAACCUCACCUCACGGGCCUUGCUACACAAGUAAUUAAACAUAUUGUCGUGGGAAGAUUCUCGACUGUUGAUGCAUGUGGGGUUCGCAAUGCAUGAACGGUCAAAUUUCAACGAGACGCAUGAGAUUUACGCUAAUAAAAUUCUUUGUAUGAAAGACCCAGUAGCUCAACUUUUAAAAAAGAUUUUGAAGAAAAACCAUGUUUCCUUAGUAGUCUAGAAUGCCUUUUGAUUGAAACACCACCUAUAGGAAAGCAAAUUCACUUUGACCACUUCUCUGGUGCAUAAUAAAUGGUUCUACAAGAAAGGCAUAAUGGAAACAGAAAAAAAGAGAGAUUCUGCUAUAGCUAGAAACAAUCUUUGUGGAACAGAUGUAAAUAGAGAGAAUAUAUAUACGCCGCCGCUCAAGCCUUAACCAGUUAGUAAAUUAAUAUGACGCAAAACAUUUUGGUCUACUGCACAACGUAAUAGUUGAUUUACCAUGUUGGGCUUAGGGUGUAACAAAGGAGACAGCUGUUUAAAUUCCAUAGAAAAUCCCUCUCAAAAAGGAAAAUCAACGCUAGGUUGGAUUUUGUUUAGUUUCUACCGUAGGUUGGGAAAGUCAGCAUAGGACUAAGACAAAUCCAAUGUGUGGAAUUUUAGUUUCUAAAGUUGGCUGGAAAAGGACUAUACUGAUUAGUGUCAUCAAAUGAAGCCAAACCCAAGAAACAGGGAAGCACACCAUACCAGUCAAUUAAGUUUCCAAAACAUCAAGUCUCUUAACUUCACUGAUUCUUUCACAGAGAGUAAUUUUAUCAAGUGGGAAUUUAUUCUUUAAUCUUUACCUAAAGUCAAGAUAUCAUGACCCUUUAAACUUGUUGUGGCUGCCCAUCUUCGCACAUUAACAUCUGGUAAAAAUUCCGAAAAUCUUUGUUUCUACCAAUGCCAUGAAACUUCACUGUUACCAUUUCAUUAGCUGUACUCUACAUGCUAAAAGCAAACAUACAUAUAUACCUGCAGAAAUUUUGAGUUCAAUCUUAGCUAUGGCUGACUAGCUGCAGGGCAUUCUGCUAGCUCAAAAAUUAUACCAUCUCUUUUUGGCAACUAUAUAUAUCUUUAACAAGAUCCCAAAACCAAUUUAACCAAGUUGGGAAAGCACUACUGUUAUCAUGAUCAUGAUAUGAUUCAGUUAUACCUAUAAACUUGAGGGGGUUUAAUUUCUCCUUACAUAUCAGACUUCUGAAUCAAUGAGUCCGGGCAGCAGGACUGCCUGGAACUGUGCCUUGUGGUGCCUAAGGCUACGCUCAGCUUUCCAAACCAUCUUAGCCUGCAGCAUAGUCUACACCACCACACUCUACGGUCCACAGCCUCUCAGGCAGCUAGUAGCCUACCCUGCAUACUCUUACCUCACCACCAUCCUGAUCGUGUCAGACGCGACUCUUGGGGACUCGCUGAGAGGCUUCUGGCAUGCCCUUUGCGCUUGUGUUCAGGUUAUGACCCUCUCAAUCUUGAGCCUCCUGCUGAUAGGGCCUGCGCACUUCAGUUACUUCAUAUCAGCCUUGGCAGUGGCUCUGUGCACUUUUGCUGUGGCAUUGCCGGGAGCAACUCACUUGAUGGCUAAGAGGAUUGCAUUUGGACAGAUUGUGAUUGUGUAUGUAGGCACUGCCAUUCAUUGUGCAGAAGCUGGUGAGUUGGUACUUAUGCACCCGAUUCAGGUGGCGUUGAGUACUAUGCUUGGAGCCUCAGCAUCAGUCAUGGCUAUGCUGUUUCCCAACUUGUUCUUCUACCAAAAGGCAUCUGUGGCAGCUUUUCUCUCUCCUUACCUUGCCUACCACGAGGUAAAUAUAAUACAAAUCUAUAUAUGUUACAUCUGUUGUUUGUCAUUGGCUUUGCUUUUGAAGCAACUCCAUAUGUUUGCAUCAUUUUAAUAUGGAUCCUAAAUUCUUACAUGCGAUGAGGGCAAAGUUUUCAUGAUAUGCAGAUUUCAUGAUGGUUCAAAUCAUGUGGACCCUAUAUAGUCUUUCUGUUUUUUCCGGUUAUAAAAGGCAGGCUCACAGAGGAUUAAAAAUGGUAAAGAUAUACAAAGUCUUACGAAAUAUGUUUAAUGAAGAGGGACAGAAUUAGGAAAGAAAAAGAAAACUCUUAAGUGUUUGAUUAAAAGAAGGGCCAGUGGAGGAAUAGAUGCUGUACUGACAUAGCUUCUUCAAAGCAAGUAGUUGGCAGCAUUAGCUUCUUCAAAGCAAGUAGUUGGCAGCAUUAAGUUCUUAGAACUUAUGCCUAUCAAUUCAGUCUUUUCCAUAUUCCACCACAAAAUUCUGUUUUUUUUGUUUUUUCUACUUCAUCGAAGUAAACCUGAAGUGUCACGAAAGACUGGAACGGGAAACAAAACAGAAUGUACCAGAUUUUUUUUGCACAUGCAACCAUCCACAAUCAAGAUUUCACUAACAGUUCUAGAUUUCAAUAAGAUUUAAGUGAUGCUCCCUUCUUCAUCUUGUCUCUUGAAUGCAUGUGAUACUGGGCCUAAUGGCAAUGCUUUGUGACAUUUACAGGUGAGAGAUAUGUGCCAAAAAUAUGCUGAAAACGCUAGGAAAAGGUUGAACUUCUAUUCAGAUGCCAUCUUGUCCCAAGACAGCUCGGCUGCACUUGGCUUUAUUUUACAAGCACAGCCCUUGGCUCAAGUAGGAGAAAAGCUCCUUCAAAGUAUCAAACACAAACAGGUAAACUACCAAUAUAUACAAGAGCUUGGAUUCUUUGGUCAUAUUUUUUGUUCUGAUAUUGUGAUUUAACCUUAAACCCUUUUGAAUAGGAAGCCUUAAUGUGGGAGAGACCAAAACUCAGAAAUAUCCUGAAACCAACUUGCAUGGAUCUGGGAGAAAAAUUGCAGGACAUAGAAAUACCCUUAAGAGGGAUUGCAAUUGCUGCAACUUCUUGUCCUUCUUUUCCUGUUGCCUUGAUUAAGAAAGUGCAACCAGAUGCUUUACAUGACAUGAAAAGGCGAAUACACGACAAGCUGGAGCAACUUGAGCAUUUUGCACCCUUAUGCAUACUAAAGAAAAAGAAAAAAUCUUUGGAUGAGUCCUUCUGGCCCCUCGAAACCAUUUUUCGUGAAGAUUUGCUGGCUUUCUUUUUUCUGGAUUGUUUGAAACUCCUCCAAGAAAAUACUGAGGCAGUUGAAGAAUGCAGGGAGAGCUACUCUGAAAAUGAAAGUUCACAUGGUUCAGAAAAUCAAAGCCAUGGUGGUAUCAAAUGGAGCUGGAGCAUUUCAUGCAUUAUACCAAGCAAAACAAGCCUAUUUUUUGCAGUUAAGUGCUCAGUUUCAUUAGGCCUUGCUGUGCUAUUGGGUUUGUUGUUUAAUGAGAGAGAAGCAUAUUGGGCAGGCCUCACAAUUGCAAUAAGUUUUGUCAGAGGAAGACAAGCAACAUUUACAAUUGCCAAUGCCCGAGCACAAUCUACGGCAAUGGGAUCAAUCUACGGAAUCUUGUGUUGCUUUAUUUUCCGUAAAGUUGAGAAUCUAAGUUUCUUACCUCUUCUUCCUUGGUUAGUUUUCACAAGCUUUCUAAGGCACAGCAGGAUGUAUGGCCAAGCUGGUGGAAUAUCAGCAGCUGUAGGGGCACUGCUGAUACUUGGUAGGAGACAUUAUGGCCCUCCACUUGAUUUUGCAAUUGCUAGAAUCACAGAGGCUGUUAUUGGAUUGAUUUGUUUCAUCACCAUGGAAAUCCUCAUAUACCCUGCAAGAGCAGCAACUCUAGCAAAACAUAAACUUUCACUUAGCUUGGGAACUCUUCAAGAAUGCAUCAAAGAUGUAGUUCUUUUUGACAACCAAAACAACAUGCAAGCUUCAAUCUUUCCAAAAUUGAGACAGAAACAGAAGAAGUUGAAGUCCCAUGUCAAUAAGUUACAAAAGUUCAUUGAAGAAGCUGAACUGGAGCCUAAUUUCUGGUUCAUCCCUUUCAAUGGUUCUUGCUACAGAAAGCUCCUGAGGUCUUUAUCAAAGAUGGGGGAUCUUUCACUUUUUAUGUCCAACAAAACAGAAUUUCUGUCAGUUGUCUUACAGAGAUGUGAAGUUGAUUCAGAGGACCUCCAAAAACCCCUGAAGUGCAUUAAAAAUGACAUAGAACUUUUCAAGAAAAAAGUUGAGACUUCACUGCAAUGCCUCCAAGAGCUGUCUUCCAAGAAGUCUCUUGCAGUACAUGACAAGCAUGACAUUGAGUUGGGUACAUCACCAAAAGCAAAUGAGUGUAGGUGUUUGGAGACAGAGAAGGAUGAGAUGGAAUGCAUUUUAAAUUCUUUUCUUCAACAUUCCAAUGAAGUAUCUGACAGAGUUGGUACCAAUACUGAAGGCGAGGAUCAGAAGCUUAAGAGCCAAGUUAUUGUUUGCUUGGCUGGCCUAGGGUUUUGCAUCAGUAGUUUACUCAGGGAAGUGAGAGAGAUGGAGAAAGAGUUUCAAGAACUGGUCAAUUUGGAAAACCCUUCAACCCAUGUCAUAGUAUGAAUUCUCACAUUUUUGUACUAACUUACCUGUAAAUAAGCAUGUUCUGCAUACCCAAUAUUACACCUCGGAUCUCCUACUUAUAUUAACUAUAAAUUUGCUUUUGACAAUCAUACAAAGCAAACAUAUGAAAGGAUCAAUGUUCUUUUUUUUGUGUGCCAAAGUUAUGAAGGGGGAGGGGGAAAAACUCACACACACACACAGGUACUAUGGGGACUUGAACCUUGGGAGCACCCCAAAGCCCUGGGCCAAUCUAAUUAACACUCCAUUGGUUGAAAGGAUCAAAGUUCAUCAAGUUAAACAUUGUACACUAUUAGCUAGUAUAUUGUGUUGUAAUCUAAUUUAAACCCAAUAAACUAUUUAAUGACAUAUAUUAGUUCAAAUGCCUUCUUUGGAUGAGGAUUUAACAUUCAAGACCAAAACAUAACUUUGAUUGGUGGCCUAAUCUGCCCAAAAAAAAAAACAAAAAAAAAACCAAUGUGAUCCUUAUGAGCUGUAAGGUAAUGAAGUAUACAGAUAAGUGAAAUUAAAGGUGAGAUUAAAAUAGGAAAAAUAAUAUCAAUUAGCAUAAUGAUUUGCAUCAACAGCUUCUGUCGUUUUCACCACUUUGUCCAAUUGCAAUAAUAGUAAUCUAAUGCAAGAAAGGCCUCCUUGCUAGAACUUUCUGCUCAUAAUUCAUAUAGGCUGGCUUUGAUUUCUAGCUAGCAGAGAUAUCCCAAAUUGGUCCAUGAUGCCAUCUGAAAUGAAAUGGCACGGCUCCAAUAUGUUUCUGCAUGAAAUCAAAUUACAUGAUGAAUAUCGACAAAAUAAUCUGACCCCACAUCACAUGUUCUGAGAAACAUGACCGAGUAGCCACAUUUUCUCAUGAGAUGUACGUGCAGAGCCUCAUCAGCAUGUGAAAGGGAUGCGUAUCCAAAUAGACACCCAAUAGCAUUUUUUUAAACUUCUGAUCAUAUCAGAUAAGCUUCAGAAGAAGAUAUUGUUCUCUGUUUGGAAAGCGACACUGCAUGGCUCCUUUAUUUUAUUAGUUUCUCAGCUGCCACGGCAGUAAAUUCAGAAUCUUUCCUUGCACUUUCUCAGCAACCAAACAGAGUCUUGAGUUUAACAGCCUUAAUUCUAUUAGUUUCUACUGUCCACUAGCUCAUUAUUAUGUUUCUGCUGCUGGCACAAGUAGCCUCCUUUUAGGCCUCUUUUUUUGGAGUCUCUCAUCAUCACACUUUAGACUUGAAGCUAUGGACUCUGCUGCUUCUCAUGACCUAGAGAAGCCACUCCUUGUCAAUGAUUUGCCGGUUCUGAAAAGAAGGAGUCAUGCAAGAGAUGUUCAUAUUCUCAGCUGUGCUUUCUUGUUGAUCUUUCUUGCUUUUGGUGCAACUCAAAACCUAGAGAGCACUCUCAUCACUGUGAGUUGGGUUUUCCAUUUUCUUCAUCUCCUUUGCUUUGAAGAAACCAAAAGUUGGUUUCUUUUUACCUUUUAUUUUUGGAGUCUUUUGAUGGUUUGAUUGGAACUUCUAAAUUGACAUAUCAGGAGAAGAACUUGGGUACCACUUCGCUUGGAAUUUUGUAUCUAUCUUUCGCAUUUUUCUCUUUGGUGGCAUCCUCAGUGGUUCGAUCACUGGGUUCAAAGAACUCUUUGAUCCUUGGCACCACUGGCUACUGGUUGUUCAUAGCUGCACAUUUAAAACCAACCUGGUAGAGCUCAUUAGACCAAAAUAAAUCCCAACACAGAAGCAGAUGUUUCAUUAUUUUUUUCAUACCAAGACUAAUCUUGAGCUUAAAAAAAUUUCCAUGAAGAUUUUUAUCACAAUGCAUAUGCUUUAGCCUUGAAGUGUUUCCUUGUAGGUGUAUAAUGGUUCCAGUUUCUCUGUACCUUGGAUUUGCCUCUGCAAUAAUAUGGGUUGAGCAGGUACAUACAAGUCUUUAUAGAAUCUCAGUUUUUGUUGUGGCAAAAGCUAGGAUUUUAUUUCUAACCUUAUUGUGGGUGGGUUCAUCAGGGGACAUAUCUAACUGCUGCGGCACGCAGUCAUGCCAGAGAUAAUGGCUUGCAUGAAGGAACUAUUAUUGGCAACUUCAAUGGAGAAUUUUGGGGAAUGUUUGCAUGUCGCCAGGUGAAUCUGUUUGACCUGUUAUUUAUGAACUUGUGCUACAUUGUUAAUCAAAAUUUAGCUUUUCAUUUUGUCUUAUAAUCUUUACUGUAAACUUCUGCAGUUUGUUGGAAAUCUUUUACCACUUGUCUUGCUCAGAGGUGGAACGGUAUGUGCCAUCCUUUCGUUUGUUUUGUCCCUUGUAGAUUAUAACAGUCAUCACGCACAUACAUUACUUGUUUGAUUUCGGGUUUAGAAUUUGUCAUUGUUUGAUCUGCAGGAGGGAAAUCCAAGCAAUACGACGCUAUUGUUCACUGUGUUUCUCUGCAGUAUGACCUUAGGUACCAUACUGAUGUGCUUCUUAAAUAAAAGGGAUGAUGAAGAAGAGAAGGACCCCCAUAAUGCUGAAUCUCUCAGCUUAUAUGCUUCUCUGUCAUCUUUGUCAAAGUCAAUCGUCGCUCCCAUGUUUGAUGUCCGGAUGCUAUUGAUCAUCCCCCUUAUGGCCUAUACAGGAUUACAACAAGCAUUCGUAUGGUAAUUAAUUACUUGACCAAUUAUCACUGCCUACUUUCUUAUAGACAAAACAAUAUCACUUGCUUUUCCCCUUUCUAAUUCACUGCAACAAUCAUUCUAAUUUUAGGGCUGAAUUCACCAAGUAUAUCGUUAGUCCAAUGCUCGGUGUGUCAGGUGUGGGUGGUGCAAUGGCAGUUUAUGGGGCUUUUGAUGCAGCAGUAAGUAUAUAUGCAGGAAGAAGUAUUCUGAUCGAUUCAUUUGCAUUGUAUUCACAAUGAGCAUCUUUUUCCUAUUGUAUAUAAGAAUAACUUGCUGUCAUAACUAGCCUUAAGAAAAGAAGAGUUUAAGUUUGUACCUUCUUUGUGAUUUAAUUUUGAUAAUUGAAUCUGUUUCUAAAGAAGCAAGAAACAUGCUCAACUUUAGGUGUUAAAAGCAAAGUAAAAUCCAUACAAUCCACACGCUUGCUAGACAACAUAAAUUCUGUUAUAGGCAGAUUUGUUUGUUAUAUUUGUGAUCUCACAUUUUGGUGCCACUUAUGUCAGUGUUCACUCAUUGCCGGCCGCCUUACCUCCGGUCUCAAGUCCAUCACUCUUAUCGUUUCUGGCGGAGCUUUUGUUCAGGCUGUCAUAUUCCUCUGGCUUCUUCUAUGUUACAGGUUAAUCAACAGUAGUAUAGUUUUGCAAGAGUCUGAAAUUGCAAUUGCAAUCUCCAAUUUGAAGACCUUGUAACCUCUAAUUCCUUAUUUUACCUUGUUAUGAUCAUGCAGCCCAUCAAGUGGAAUACUUGGAACCAUAAACCUUCUCAUAAUGGCAGCUCUAUUAGGGAUUGGUGAUGGAGUUUUCAACACACAGCUCAGUGCUCUGAUUGGAAUAUUCUUCAAGGACGAUAUGGUAUCAAUUUCACCACACUUUUUCCCUACUCUUUCUCCUUUAUAAGUUCUGUUAUUCAUGAACUUCAGAAUCAAAACCACUUGUAUUUACAAUCCGACUCAAAUCUGUUGCUUUCGGGGGAAAUGCAGGAAGGAGCAUUUGCACAGCUCAAGGUGUGGCAGUGUAGUGCUGUUGCACUCAUCUUCUUCAUCAGUCCAUACAUCUCAUUGCAAGCAAUGCUGGUGCUUAUGCUGUCUGCAGUCUGCCUCUCGUACACCGCCUUCGUUUACCUAUCCCAGCAAGGAGAAAAAGCACUCUCACUUCAAGUUCAGGUUCAAGUUCAGGCUCAGGUUCAUGAUGUGUGCACAUGAAUGAAAACAUCUUUAAAGAGAAUUGUGUCAUAGGCAUAGCCAUACAAGUUUUUGUACUUUUUUUUAUGUUGGUGCUGUCUCUAAAGACCAUCCCCUCUGUUGUUUCUAAAACUAAUGGAAAUGACCAUUAUACCAUCACACACACACCACCAUACUGUUGACAAGCACUCAGAAUUCGGUUCAAGUCCACUUCAAGAGGAUGGACUUCUAAUUUUCCAAUUUUUGUUCUCUUUUAUGCUUUUGUUUCCACUUAUAAAGAUCUAUUUAUGAACUGUUUCUCUUUCAAGUCUAUUGGGAGACAAAUAAAAUUGAACUGAUUCUCUUUCAAGUCUGGUGCAAGAGUUUUUUUAUUUUUUCUUUUUCAAGACUACCAUUGUGUUCGUGAUUUCUGCUAUAUAUAUUUUUUAAUAAAUAUCACGAGAUGUUCUGUGAAUAUUGAAAAUAGAUAUACUACUAGAUGGAGAACUAGUUUACAUAAAUAUCUUUUUCGACCCAUCUACAAUUAUACAUAUAAGAAGGCUAAAUUACAUUUUUAGCCUUCGUAGUGUAGCUCUAUUUUCACUUAAAAGUCCCUAUAAUUGUCUCUCUCUCUCUCCCAAAAAAAAGUCCCCAUAAAGCUAUUUCUCAUCAAAGGAAAAUCAAAAGCUAUUGUCCACCGUCAAGUUGACGGAGUGUCGACAUGGGGAUAUGUAAAAUACCCAAAAAGUCGACAUGGGGAUAUGUAAACGACAAGGCUAAACUGUAAUUUUCAAAAAAAAAAAAACCUUGCAAUUAUAUGUUGGCGGCAACAAUAACGAAUUGAUUAGCUAAACGCCCGUCCGGCAUUUGUCGUUGUCUUCCUCUUCUUCUCCAGCAACUGUUUGUCGUUUCCCGAGGUUUCUUCGUUGGAUACAAAGGCUUUUCUUUACCGCUUGAUUCCCGACCAUCCCAACGGACAACAACGAAAAUUCAGAGAAUCAGUUCAACUAUCUUUUCAUUUUCACUACAUUUUCUCAGCAACCAAACAGUGCUCAGAGUUUAUGAACUCAAAAUUUAACCCAAAUCGAAAGUCAAUCUCUUUCUUUGUCAACUAGCUCUCGAUUUUCUUCGCCGGCAGUGACCUCUCCUCUUGGCCUCACUCGAUUCGAAUUUGGACUCUCUCGCACAUGUUUAGGGUUUUAUAGCGAUUCUGUGAUAAACUGUAUUGAGAUCUCAAAGCUAUGGAGUCUGCGGAUUUUCGUGGUGAAGAGACGCCACUCGUCGUCGAAAAUUCGCCAAUCCAAAGCCGGAGGAAGCAUACAAGAGAUGUUCAUAUUCUCAGCUCUGCCUUCUUGUUGAUUUUUCUCGCUUAUGGUGCCGCUCAGAACCUGGAGACCAGUCUCAACACUGUGAGUUUAAAGUUUGAAUCUUGAAUUGAAAAUAAUUGCUUUCACUUUUUUAAAAUUGAUUUGGUUGAUGAUUUGAGACUGUGAUUUUGGGUUCAGGAGGAUGAUUUGGGUACCAUUUCACUUGGGAUUUUGUAUUUGUCUUUCACAUUUUUCUCUUUGGUGGCGUCUCCGGUGGUUCAAGCAAUGGGAUCAAAGAAUGCUUUGCUUCUUGGGACUACUGGCUACUGGUUGUUCAUAGCUGCAAAUUUGAAACCAACUUGGUAUUUACUAAUUUGCUUGUAUACAUACUUACAUGCAUAAAUGCAUCACAAUGCAUAUGUUUAUUUGUUGAAGUAUUUCCAUGUAGGUAUACUAUGGUUCCAGCUUCUUUGUACAUGGGAUUUGCUGCUUCAAUUAUAUGGGUUGGGCAGGUAUUAAGUCUCUUUUUAGUAUUUGGUGGUCAAAGCUAGAAAUGUUGUUUUCUGAACUUAGUUUGGGUCUGUCAGGGGACAUAUUUAACUUCUACUGCGCGUAGUCAUGCCAGAGAUAAUAACUUACACGAAGGAACAGUUAUCGGUCAUUUCAAUGGAGAAUUUUGGGGAAUGUUUGCCUGUCACCAGGUGAAUCUGUUGGAUCUUUUCUAGGGAGCAUAUAUGUAUGAUUUCACUGAAAGUAAUGUCUCUUAUUGAUGACUUUGUGUUACUCUAAACUUUUGCAGUUGAUUGGAAAUCUUGUAUCACUCGCCAUGCUAAGAGAUGGAACAGUAUGUGCCACUGCCAUCCUUGUAGUUGAACUUGUGUUUUUCUUGUCCUUUCUGUUCAUUUUAUUCACUCGUUAGACCCCACAAGUGUGAUGGCCCUAGUUUUGUUAGCUUUCAGAAUACGGAUUUUGACACAAUGCAUCAAGUUUUACUGUUCCCUCCUCUUUCUGAUUUCUGAUUUUGAGUUUAUUAUGUGUUUUGAAAUUAUGUGCCUUUAUAAUAAUUUCCUUCCCAUCACUGCAGGGGGGAAGUACUAGCGGCACAACCUAUUUGUUCAGUGUGUUUCUCAUCAGUAUGACUUUAGGUACCACACUGAUGUGCUUCUUACAUAAACGGGAUGGUAAAGGAGAGGAGGACCCCCAGGGCUCUUCUCUCAGCUUUUAUGCUUCUCUAUUAUCUUUGUCAAAGUCAAUCAUCACUCCUUUGUUUGAUGUACGGAUGCUAUUGAUCAUCCCCCUUAUGGCGUAUUCAGGAUUACAACAAGCAUUUGUGUGGUAAUUACUUGACCAAUUGCUGCUGCCUACUUUCUUAUAGCCAAAAGAAUAUCACUUGUUUUAUUCUGAUUCUUCUUUUGUUUGUUCCAUUAUUAAGCAUUGCAAAACUAUUCUUAUUUUAGGGCUGUAUACACCAAGUAUAUUGUUACUCCAACGCUCGGUGUGUCUGGUGUUGGUGGUGCAAUGGCAGUUUAUGGGGCUUUUGAUGCAAUAGUAAGUGCAAAUUGAGCAUCUUUUAUGUUGUCUUGUUCUUUUUUUGGGAGUGGCUGAAACGUGGAAACUUAAUUAUUAGAAAAGACUUUCCUCCGCACUAGUCUUCUUUUGGGAGUGCCCGGGGGGGGGGGGGGUUGUUAACUUCAGUUCUUGCUGCCAUAACCAAUAACCUACAUUUCUUCCCUUUGCCUGAUCAUGGCUUUUCUUUAUUAGACCAUUUCUUGGAUAGCAAGAAUGGAGCUUUUCUUGAUAUUGCAUAUGCAUGCUCGAUAUGUGGAGUUAAAGGCAUACAUUCACUCCAUGCUUGCUAGAAGGCAUACAUUCUUUUUAAGCAGAUUUUUGGUGUGCGAUAUGUUUUUGGUCUGUUAUAUUUGUGAUCUCACAUUUGGGUUGAACAUGUGUCAGUGUUCUUUGACUGCUGGUCGACUCACCUCUGGUGUCAAGUCCAUCACUAUUAUAGUUUCUGGUGGAGUCCUCCUUCAGGCUAUUAUAUUCCUGUGGAUUCUUUUAUUAUACAGGUUAGCAGUAUUUACAUGUAGCGUACUACAGUUUUGUAGACUUUGAAAUUGUUACAGUAAUAUCUAAUUCGAACAAUUGGCCGAAAAAAGAGAAUAUCUAAUUUCAAGCUAUUGCUAUCUUGUUGUUAUGAUGCAGCCCAGUGAGUGGUGCACUUGGUAUUAUCUACCCUCUUAUAAUGGCAGCUCUCUUGGGCAUUGGUGAUGGAGUCUUAAAUACACAGCUGAGUGCUUUGCUUGGGAUAUUCUUCAAGAACGACACUGUAUUUGACACCACCUUUUCUCUAAGUCUUCUCCUUUUUAAGUUCUUGUUCUUUAUGAAGUUCAGAACAACCAUUGUACUGAUACUCAGUCUGUUGCUUUUGGGGAACAGGAAGGAGCAUUUGCACAGCUGAAGGUCUGGCAGAGCGCUUCAAUUGCAGUCGUCUUCUUUAUCAAUUCAUACAUCUCAUUGCAGGCAAUGCUGAUAAUUAUGCUUGCCGCAAUCGUCGUCUCAUACGGUGCCUUCGUUUUUCUGUCGCUUCGAGAGAAAGCGUUCCCAUCUUCGAGUUCAUAAUGUGUAAACAUGAAAUCAUCUUCCAGAAAAACCUUUGUGUAUACAAGCAGGUAUAUGUUAGGUUUGCUACUGUCUACAAAUCCUUUCCACUUUACAUAUUUGUUGUUUGUAACAUGUUCAUCUACUUCAAUAGAAAUAAAAGUAGUGUGAAGAGUGCAAAUAUUCAGAAUUUGAAUCUGAACCACUCAUUGUGUACAUUUUCGUUCGAAUUCGUGAUCUGAUUCAGAGUCUUGCAACAUACGAUUUCCACAUUAAAAUUAAAAUAGAACCACCAAAACAAAUACGAGCAGUCAACAAAUAUGGGUCAUUUCCCAUCUUCUUCCACCUAAACUCCAAAAUUCACAAAGUCGUUGAAAUUAGGUCCCCUCUCUCUCUCUCUCUCUCUCUGAGACUUUUGACCCAGAUUUUUGACCACCCAAUCGCAUGCCUAUAUAAACUCCCAACCUCACCACUUCGUCUUCCCAAACCCAAAGAACAACAUGCUCCGCUCGCUCUUUACCUCCACCCUCACGACCCUCUCCUUGCGCUGGCCAGUGCUAGUCUACGCCGCCACGUGGACCACAUUGCUCACUCUGACGGUGGCCGUGGCCUCCUUCUCCCCCGAGGUCGCGUUCGUCUCCUCCAUUUCGUCGACGUCUUCCUUCUCCCGCGCCUGCGACUCGGAAGGCUCCGUUAGGGUUCCGUCGGACGUGCCGGGAGAUAUCCUGUGCUUGCCGGCUCACCUGUUCAGCAAGUCCAGCAUCGAUUUCAUCGUGCCCCCUGUUUUCGCGGCGGUUGUGGUGGCUGGGUCGGCUUUCCUGGUUCGAGCCGUGGGCUUGUGGGAGACUGAUGAGGUCCCUUGAGUUGGGCCGGUUUUUAGUGCUUUGCUGUAGUUGGACGGCCCAUGUUAUAAAUACACGGAUGAUAUUAUUCUUUACCAACAUAUAUAAGAGAAAUUGUUGUUUGUGAGGAUAAAUAUUAAUUACUUAAUAGUUAGUUACGUAUGAGUGAUUUCUGACCGUUGACGCAUGUAUAAUUUGGAUUUUGCAUCAAAAUCAAAACAGUAAUCUUCUUAUCAUUCUAGUAGACUUAUAAUAUUACUGUCAUACUAAAUAAUUUAUCACAUCGAAUAACAUUAUUUGAAAUGAAUGAAAGCUGGACUUGGUGGAGAAAAAGAGCGAAUUUCGCUUCCCAUUCCAGCUUAGGGGAAAAGUGAUUGUGCUAAGGAUGAUUUGUCAACCUCAUAUUAAUGAAAGAGCCAACUCAAAUCCCAUCACUAUAAAGAAGCACAUGUUGUAAAGAAGGAUAAGUAAAGAAGAAUAGGUGAAGCCCACAUAGCCAACUAACACCCACCAAACCUAACCAUACACCCACCAAACCAAAUCACUACCCAAUUGAUUGAAGAAUAUUAAUGAUGUUGUUGAUUGAAGAAUAUUAAUGAUGUUGUUGAUUGAAGAAUAUUAAUGAUGUUGUCUACCAAUUAUAUUGUGAGGUGAACAACCAAUCUCUUAGGCCUAUAAAUAGAUACCUCUAUCAAGAGAAGUUUACACAUAUAGAAGAGGAAGAGAAGGAAGAAUGAGGGUGAGUGAGUUGAGAGGAAAGAGAGCAAGAGAGAAAUUCUCCAAGAGAGAAAAUUGAGUGAGUCAUACAUAUUGUAAACACAAAGUUGUAGCCCUAUUAUUUUACAUAGUGGAAAAGUUACUGCUGCUGCUCUCCGGGGAUGUAGGCAUAGCCGAACCUCGUUAAAUACUGUGUCUCAUCUACUUUACGUGCAGCUCAAUAUUCGCACAUAUACUAGUUCAUUUUAUAACACGUUAUCAGCACGAGAAGCUCUCAGGUAUAAUUUUUGUGUUGCACUAUUAUCUAUACUACUAACCCUUAUGUUGAUGUAAGGAAGAAAAGUAGUGGAGGAGCUGUGGUCUGCAAGAGAGAUAUACGAGCAAACCAACUGUGUGCAGAUUACAGGUGGAAAGCAUUUGAUUUAAGAGACAAGCAUGAUGCCUUCCACAAACGAUAAUAAUAUUAUCUGCUAUACUAUUUGAUCGUGGUGUUGAUGAGAACCCACCAAUAAUUGCCUUUACUUUACCGCAAAUUUACUUUUACUUAAAGUAAUAUAAUAUAUUAUAUUUACUGUAUGGUGUAGGUUUAUUACCCAUACAACAGUAUUUAUUUAAAAGGGUGGUGCGAGUUUAUCGUCCACGCCUUUACUUCUAUUUAAAUGUAUGGAGCAGAAUUAGUGCCCAUACAAGCACCAUUUACUUUACCGCACAUUUAAUUUUAUUUAAAGUAUGGUGCGGGAUUAACGUCCAUACAACAAACAAUUUAAUUUAUGAAUUUAAUUUACCGCACAUUUACAUUUAUUUAAAAGGGUGGUGCGGGUUUAUCGUCCACGCCUUUACUUUUAUUUAAAUGUAUGGAGCAGAAUUAAUGCCCAUACAAGCACCUUAACUUUAUGAAUUUAAUUUACCGCACAUUUACAUUUAUUUAAAGUGUGGUGCGGGUUUAUCGUCCAUACCAGUAAUUUAUUUACCAGCAAUUUAUUUUAUGGAUUAAAUGUGAUGUAUGAUGAGUUUUUACAGUAUGCAGAUCAGGACCAGAAGUUCCUUGAUCCUUAUCAUACAAUUACAUCAGGACUUGAAGAUCCUUGAUGAUGAUGUUAAUAUGAGAGCUGGCAGUCUCUCCGGUACUAUAUUUGUAAACAUGUGAUUGGACUUGAGGGUCCUUGAUCCCUGACAUGUAAAUUAGGACCUGGGGUUCCUUAAUGAUGUAACAGUACCGUAUUGGUUCAUAAUGCCGUACACAUGGAUGAUAACUGUACCGGCAAAUGUACUGUACACAUGAAUAGAUACGUAUUCAUGGCUUGAUGAAUAGUACCGGAUAUAUGAAUAGUGACGUAUACAUAAAUAUUAACCAUUUUGGGUAAACCAUCACUAUUCAAAAAGGAACCUGCAAUUCCUUAAACUCAUGGAUGAGCAAUUAAAUGAGAUGCCAGAAGUUCCUCAAAAUAUGGACAAUUAUGUAAGGGCUUGAAGUCCAGAAAUGUGUACAGAAAAUUGUAAAAAUGUACAUACCAUGAGAAUAUGUGAUUUUGGCCCGAAGUUCAAAAUCUAAGGGGAUUGAAUGUCCAUACCAUGAGAAUAUGUGAUUUUGGCCUGACGUUCAAAAUCUAACAGUGUUGAGAACCUGAAGUUCCAACAAUUAAAUGGACAACCCUUGAGGUAUUAUUGCAAAUUGUGGUACGCCACAUAUUUCUUUGGCAUAAGAGAAUGAUGAAUUGAGGCUCCCCACAUAUUUUGUUAUAUCUGGGCCGGAAGCUCAUGAACCCAAAUAUAUGAGAUAAUAGCGUGGCUUUUACUCAAUCCAUAUUUCAUGUUCAUUUGAAAAGGGCAAAUAAAUUCUGAGUUUGUGUCUAGCACAGGCUAAAAGUUCCAUACGUUGAAAUAUGAAAUUUGGGAGAGACGAUGUGGUUAUUUGAACCUAUAAGGCACAAGGUUCCAAACCGUCAUUUUGAAAAGACGUAAAAAACCACAGGUGCAAGUUUAAGAAUGUGCGCAAUUAUUAUAACAGGAACAUACAACAGAUAGAUUUUUUCCUGCAAUGAAGGUGCAGGCCCUGUAAAAUCUAUAAAAAUACAUUAUGUUCUGGAAGCCUUUGAAGGAAGAGGACGACGCCUCUUAAGCUUAGCCAUGAGCCUCUCAUGGUCUCCCAAAAUUCUUUCAUUGGAGACCUGCAGCAUGUCUAGCCUUCUCAGUGUAUCAACAGAGUAUGAACUCACCAGUUUCAACAAGGCAUUAUUCUCUCCUUUAAGUUUCUCAACCUCCUGUUGAGACUCAUGAAGCAUUCUUUGGAGAGACGAAUUUUCAGUAGCUAACCUCUCAACCUCGUUUGCUCUGGCACGCAAACGAUCAGCCAUGUUAGAAACAGAAACAGCACUCUGAAUGCUAAAAGCCAUUGAGUCAUCAAUAGCCUCUUCCUCUGAUCUCCCUGUCAACAACAUUUCAUCCAUUGGAGUAAUGCAAUUCCUAGCUACUAUGACAGCAGUAGCAUCAUUCAUCAUCACAGAAUCAUUAACUGUGAGAUGACGAUUUUGGGAUAUAAAGGAUGGACGCCAAACUUGGGCGUCACUGGUUGUUGUGGGAGUAUCAUUUAAAUUGAGAUAAUUUGGGCAGGAAGAAGAGGAAGCCAUUUUUAAGAAGGUUUCGAAGAAAGUCUUAAGAAAACUAAAGUUUCAGAAAAUGAAGGAAGUUGAGUUGAAACGCAGUUGCUCCAAUCAAGUUUUGCAAAGGCAAUAUCUAUAGGAGGAAAUAUGACUACAGUUUCCAGGAUCCCAAUAUUAUCUCAGAUCCCCAUAUUAUCUUUUUUCUUUCCCAGAUUCCAAAACUUCACGUGGCCUCCAUUAAUGUUUGUCGGCACUUUCGGCGUUUUCAAAGUAUUAUUUUCGUCAAAAGCCGAUCUUGCUUUACGAAUUUCAUGGAGCUACUUUUUCAAAAGUAUCCCGAGAAUCUCGCAAUUUUCCUAUGGUUAAUUUGAAAUUCACCGGUUCUACCUAUUCCUCUUAUUUGUGUAUAAAUGUGUUACUAACGAAAUUUUCUUUACAGAAGACAUCCAGUUUUCUCCAUACCUAGUGAUGCGAUAUCUACUUAUUUUUCUUAUCAGUGAGCACUCAAUAUGCCCGAGAAGCAAGACUAUCUCUGAUCAUCCAUUCAGGAAGCGAGACUAUCCUUGAUCACGUUUCCGCCACAUCAGGGAACUGUGAAGGCGACCUUAUGCUCUAAUCUCCGGAAGUUCUUCUAGACUAGGAGAAAUGAGAGCUGGUUGUUUGCUCCCACCAGCUUCCUUCCUUGAUUGCUGAGCUUGUUGUCUGCUCCCACCAGCUUCCUUCCUUGAUUGCUUACCUUCUCUUGCAAUCAAUAUCACAUUAUUUUUGCAUUUUUUUUCUCUUUUUGUAACUCUCCGAGGAUUAUUUGUUUUUGACAGAGAAAAGAGUUGUGAUUUUGCUCUUGCAGGAUAUAACUAGAUCAUCAAGCGCUACAUUUACUGGGCCGAUACAAGCUUGAAUGAUACUUGAGAAAAGUUUCUCCCACCUAAGGACGUAAGCAAUACUUGUGUUAUUUUAUGCUUAUAUACUUAUUUGAUAUUUUAUCCGUUCCAAAAGAAUGGCUUGUAUGUAUCCACGAAUUAUUAAUGCAAAUUUUACAGAUUGCAAGUUGGAUACAUUGAUAAUACACUGCACAGAUUAAAGUCCCAUAAGAACAGAAUAUGGGUAUAGCAGUGAUCAAUAUGAUGCACACCUGUUGCGUAGCAAAUGAUGUGGAUUGAAGUCCAGAAAGGACAAUCCUUUGACAUGUCAAUAUUGAUAUUAUGCACGCCUAAUGCGUAGCAAAUUAUAUGGGUUAAAGUCCCAUAAUAUGGGUUAAGGUCCUAGAAAUUAAUUGACAUGUAUGUAUUAAUCUGUGACAUGCCUUCAGCAUGACAGAUAUAUGGGUUCUAAAUGUUCCAACUCCCUAAAUGGAGAUUAUCCACGCCCUACUGCUAAAUAACGCUCCAAUGGAGGUUAUAAUCCACAUUCUCACAUAAUAAAAGCCUCAUGAAGUGGCUUGGGUACCCAAAGGCAAAUAAAUGCUUAUAAUUGAUGCAUGCGCAUGCAAAUGAGAAUGGUGGGAUCAUGAAUUUAUGAAUGACAAUUUUUGAUCAUGAAUUGAUGAAUGACAAUUUUUGGUUUUAGAGUAGCUACUCAAAUCAUCAAUGGGCUGUGUUGAUUGGAACCACGUUCAAUUAUUAAAUGUCGACAAUAUUAUUGGCCAAAAUGGAAUGAGGUAAUUCCAUUAUAGAUGAGAAUGAACGUGAAAGAACAAACCCACAGUACGAACCCCAAAAGAUGUUAAUACUGAAAUUUAUACUUGGGUGUUCGGAAUAAAAGGGAAUAUACCUACUUUGUAUGACACACUGUUUCUGGCAGAAACAAGGAAUGUUGGGUUUUCUCCAUAUUUACAGAUUCAAUUGUGCCCCCUCUUAUUACACAAUUACGGAGACCAACAUAUUAUCUUUAAGGGUUAUUAAAUGCAUGGAGCAUAUCGCCAGAAGCGAUUUCCUAAAGAUAUAUAAAUAGCUGGGUAAAAGCUAUAUAAUGUGUCAUAAAGUUUAAACCCUUUUUAGAUAAAAUCCGUUGAGAGAAUUGACAUUGCAUAAAGCAAGUCCCUAAAGGACAUGUGCUUGAAGCACAAAAUUUGUACUCAAUAUUAAUAUGCAUAAAUUACCUCAGUGAGUACAUUGAUUAUAAUGUGUUUGCAACACAUUAAAGCUUCUGAAGAGUUCAAGAAAUAUUUGUCUCGACUUAAGGAUCGAGCAUUAUGCCAACGAGAUUCUUGCUUAUACUAAGAAAGUAUUGAAGCAUUUUUAUGAGGAUUAUCCGUUGGACACUUUAAUGAUUUUUCGGAAGUAUAUUGGACCGGACAUCAUAUUUUUCAGAUAGGGCUCAACUCCAUCACCAUCAUUUUGGGAUGAUGUGAGGUAUAUUUGAUGUUAUCUCCGCAUAACACCAUGUACGGGCAUAUUCUUUCAAGUGAACUUACAAAUAGCCCAAGUUUUGUUAGAAACGCGGACUCUGAAAAUUUCUAUGAUUUACAUAGAGAUAGCUCACUGGAAAUAUAUUUACUUACUCAACUACGAGAAUUAUUAAUGGCUAUAUCCUCCAUUCACUCCGAAAGAUUCUCACUCCAAAAGAUAGUCAUGAAGACAUCAGGGGGAGAUAUUAAUCAGGGGGAGCAUCCAGAAGUAUGCUAUACAGAUUGCUGUACUCUUUUUUUCUUCCUUCCAUCAGUUUUCUACCUCACUGGGUUUUUCUCCAAGCAAGAUUUUAAUGAGGCAACCAAUCUAGGGACAUGUGGUCUCCAAGGGGGAGUGUUGUAAAGAAGGAUAAGUAAAGAAGAAUAGGUGAAGCCCACAUAGCUAACUAACACCCACCAAACCUAACCACACACCCACCAAACCAAACCACUACCCAAUUGAUUGAAGAAUAUUAAUGAUGUUGUUGAUUGAAGAAUAUUAAUGAUCUUGUUGAUUGAAGAAUAUUAAUGACGUUGUCUACCAAUUAUAUUGUGAGGUGAACAACCAAUGUCUUAUGCCUAUAAAUAGAUACCUCUAUCAAGAGAAGUUUACACAUAUAGAAGAGGAAGAGAAGGAAGAAUGAGGGUGAGUGAGUUGAGAGGAAAGAGAACAAGAGAGAAAUUCUCCAAGAGAGAAAAUUGAGUGAGUCAUACAUAUUGUAAACACAAAGUUGUAGCCCUAUUAUUUUACAUAGUGGAAAAGUUACUGCUGCUGCUCUCCGGGGAUGUAGGCAUAGUCGAACCUCGUUAAAUACUGUGUCUCAUCUACUUUACGUGCAGCUCAAUAUUCGCACAUAUACCAGUUCAUUUUAUAACAUCACAUGAUAAAUGACAAUCACUAAAUAUAAAUGAUUAUGUCUUGCAAUUCCAAGUGGUAGGCAUCUUAGAUUCACAGGAUAUGCUUAUGCUUCUUAAAGAAUCAGCUUUUGGAAGCCCCAUCGAUCAACUUGUUGCUGAAGUCCCAAAGCUUUUUGGCCAACUUUUCAUCUCCAGCAUGUGAGCUGGGUUUCAUUUCGUUGCAGUCCACAAAGUAUUUUCCAGUCACACCUUUCAUUUUUGGGUGCAGUGCUACAUAUGAUGUUGUGGCUGCUCCCUGAAAACAAUCAGAGAGAUUGCAUUCAAAAUAUAUUUUUAAUUUAAUCCCUCGGUCCAUUAGAACAAAUAAUUAUAAAUAAGAGAGAUCAUUAGUUGGAGAUUAAUUAAUUAAUCACCUGAGGUACAUUCUUCCACAUCCAAAAGGUGAACAACUUGAAAGUUUCUGCAUAGCAGAGAUGGUGAAAAUUAAUUAAUUAUAAGAUGCUUAAUUGUAUAAAUUGGAAAUAUGCAUGGGGUAUUGGAACAUACUCAUCAAAAGAGGAGAAUGCCUCAUGAGAGGUGUCAUGAUCAAUCCUGGGUGGACUGAGUUGACUGUUAUGUUCACACCUUCUUCCUGCACAUAAAGCAAUAUACCAUGUAAGAGCCUGUAUAGAAUUUUAAAACUUUAUAUUCACGGUUAACCUAUCUCGCCACUUGUUAAUCACUCUAAUGGUGAAUAUCAAUAAAUCAUGUCAGCGUAAACAUGUUAAUUGAUAGUAUGACAACAUAACGUAUUAAAUUGGUAAAUACUGAGAGUAGCGAUACAAAGUCUUUGGUAUAGGUCCUACUGUAGGGUGUAUAUGUCUACGGGAGCCUGUCAGGUUACCCACUUGAGGACAGUGAUUGAUUUACAAUUUUUUUUUUUUGUUCAUUUGAUUUGUUUUUCCCAGCAGCAAUUAUAACUCUGUACAUACUUGGUGAAAGUUCGAUCUGUUUCUAUUUUUUAGCUCCCAGCCCUACUUCAUGUGCCUCCACAAGCAUGUAGGUCUCUUCACCAAUGCUUAUGGGACACUAGUUACCUACUUGGGGCCCUUGAUGAACCAUCAAACACUCACUUAACACAACUACCAUGCACCUGUUUUUUCUGGCUUCAAUUAAAUCACAGUGAUUAGAGCUGUUUUGGGGUUGGUCUGGGGUUCUAUGAGCACAUUUUUCGUAUACCAUGUGUCUCUGCACAACACUAGUUUCAAAUAAUUAAUGUGAAAUAAUGGUUGGGGCUUUCUGCAGACAAUAGAGGAAAUAGGAUCACCUGCAAUCGACGAGAGAGCUCAUUGGAAUGCAGUAAGUUUGCUAAUUUGGAUUGCCCAUAUGCCUUCAGUUCUGAGUAACUGAGUACAAAAAAACAUUUAAGUUACAGGAUUGUGAGCUAUCUGCUUAUAAAUAAUCAAUAUGGAAAAACAUUGGAUUACUCAAAUUAUUCCUUACCCAAUUCGAUCGUUGAUCUUGUCGAAUCGAAUCCCCUCUUGGUAAGGGGUUGUAUGAGCAAGUGAUGACAGAAUCACAAUUCUGCCUUCUACACCAGUAGUUCUAGCGGUGUUCUUCAUUUUGUCAAGCAGAAGGUUUGUUAAGAGAAAAUGGCCUGUAAAAUAAGGUUAUCUGCUUAACUACAACGCAAUGAGUGAAAAAGUUGGGAGCCCAAUUCUUUUUUCAAUUCCUUUUCCCCCAAUUCUCUCAUACGAGAUGGGCCUUAAUUGAAAUCUCAUACAUCUCAAGAGAAAAGAUAACAGUAGUUACCAAGAUGAUUGGUUGCAAACUGCACCUCUACUCCAUCUUCUGAAAGCUGGUGGGAGCAGAACAUAACACCAGCAUUGUUUCUGCAACAUAAAUCACCAAUUUUUAUAAUGCUAAUAUGUUAAUAAUUUCAUAUUAAACUAACUAAAUAAGGAGAGAGAGAGAGGAUGACAUUAAGAGGUUGAGAGGAAGAUCAAGAGCGUUGAAGCUAUCAACAAAUGCUCUAACAGACUUGAGAGAGCAGAGGUCAAGUUUCAGAACAUCCACUCGGGCACUUAUAUUUUCUUUAAUAAUAGCCUGUUUUGCUUCAUUAGCAGCCUCUAUGUUUCUGGCGGCAAUGAUGACAUGGGCUCUACGAAGUGCCAAGACUCUUGCUGUCUCAAACCCAAUCCCACUUGCCCCACCUGCAUUUCACAAACAGGAACAGAAAUGUUAAUCAAACUAGAAAGAGGCAUAUUGGCUUGCUCUCCGUCUCUAUAUGCAGAGUAGCUCUGCAACACAAUUCAGAAAAUGAUUUGCAAAAAUUUGCAUUCAAAAGCCAUAUUACCACUCCUAAUUUCAUGUUUAAUUGGGUCAUAUCUAUUUUUUUGUUCUUCUUAUUACUAACCAAAAAAAAAACCCAAAAAAAGAAAAAGAAAAAAGGCCAUUAACACCAGAAACAGAAACAUCCAAUGAAAUAAAGAACCCCACAAAGACCGGAAAAAAAAAGAAGAAGAAGAAACAAACAGCAGAAUUAAUUCACAGAGGAAAAUGCAAAUUUAGCUGACCAGUUACAAUAGCGGUAAGGUUGCUAGCAUCAACUCCUUCAGUGACCUGCUCAGCAGUUGAAGCUGACCCAAACCCACUAGGCCCUGGCCUUCCUGUCAUCAAUGCAAAGAUACCCAUUUCCUAAAAUCACAAGAAAGAGCCAGUCUCAAUCAAGAAACCCACAGAGAAGGUCACAGCACACAACGAUAUGAGCCAAACUUACAGAAACUUGGAGGGUAAAAGACAAAGAUGAGCACAAAUGCAUGGGAAUAAAUAUGAACACCGUGCCAGAAAUUUUUGAGUGUGAUGGUUUUUACGAGGUUUGAUUCAUAGAGAUAAACUUUGGGUGAACAACAGAGUUGACGUGUCAUGCACGUAGUGUUUAGUAUUAAUGAACAUGUACCAUAAUACCAAACCUAAAAAUUACUCGAGUAGGAUGAGUUGAAUGUAUGUAAUAAGUUUGGUUCAAUUGACCGAAAAGUUAUUCAUUGCGGUCACCACCAAUGUGGUUUUUAUACAUGUCAAAAUUUUCAAAUAUUUGUUUUGUUGUUGAAACUUUAUCAAUAUUGUUGGAAGUUAAAAGUUAUCUUGUUAUCAAUCUACUCAUAUUAUAACAUACGUUCGUAAAAUAACAUUUGAAUUAACAUCAUGUUCCCGUCACACUCAAAAAAGUUUUUAACAAAGAAAAUACAAUAAUAUUAAAUAAGCUUAUUUAAUAGCCUCAUUAAUCUGUUAAUAUCAAGAACGAAUGGGAUGUAAGUAAUUGUGAAACGACCAGAUUCAACUGGACAAGGGAAAUACGACUUUUUGGUGGAGUUUUAGUACAAGACCAGUUGGAAAUAAAAGCUAAAAUCUUGAAGAUGAUUGUGAAAAUUUUCUAGAAUUUUCGGAGCAGUCAAUGAGAGCAGUCUUUGAUGUUAAGUCAGUAUAAGGUGCAAUCCCUUCAAAAUAGUGCUGCUGUGGAGCAAUGAUUAUUUGAAGAUUUUUCUGAUUUUUUCUCAAGGACUUACAAUUUAUAUUUUUUUUUCGAAUUUUCUUGGAGGAGGAACAACCCCAAACGUGCAUGCAAAGUAACUGACGUGUUAUCUCAAUCCAAGUAGAAAGAUGAGUCAAUUACUUAUCCAUUUUGGAUUUAUGUUUUAAUUAGACUUUUCUUUAUGUUUGGUCUACUGUAAAAGCCCAGCUAGGGUAGGAAUAGAUGUGUGGUGUUUUAUUUAAGCAUGAGAAACAACUCCUUGAGAGUUAGACACGCAAAGACUAGGAGAAAUUGGAGACGCUGGAAAAGUACCGCAUUUGGCUAAGUUUGAUUGUUUCUUCCUUAUGUUUUUGUUUAUGUUGAAUUAUAUGAUUAUGUGUAACUAAUUUUCUUUUGCUAAGGCAUGAUGUAGCCUUAGUAUGAUAAUCUAGUUUUCUUAUUUUACCUAUCUAUUGAUUGCCGUUUGAUGUUGGAUUCUUAAUCAUUGUGUUUAAUAACUUGGUUGAUUAUCUUGAUGCUUGAUCACCAUCUAGACUUUUAAUUGAGUUAAUCAAAUGCAAAUUAGAGUAAAUACCAUACUUAAUUUGAGGCUUGCUUCUUGUGAUUAGGAUUUGUAAUUCGUCUAGGGUAAAUACCAUACUCCUAGAGUUUACAUGUUUGUUCAAGGUUUUCCCUGAUCUUAAUGAGUUUCCAUGUGUUGAUAUUUGAUCUAAAUACCAUAGAUGAAUUGCAAGUAGGAAUAUAUGUAACAUUCCACAUCGACCAACGGAGAAGGGUGAUGUGCCUUAUAUGUAUAUGCCCACCUCCAUUUAGCACAAGGCCUUUUGGGAGCUCACUGGCUUCGGAGUCAUGUGAACUCCGAAGUUGAGCGAGUUUGGGCUAGAGCAAUUCCAGGAUGGGUGACCCGCUAGGAAGUUGGUCAUGAGUCCCUAGAAAUAAAACUGUGAGGGUAGGGGGCCCAAAUCGGACAAUAUUGUGCUACGGUAGAACCGAUCCGGGAUGUGCCAUAAUUGUAUCAGAGCCACUCUGCCGGGUGGUGCAAGUGUGCCAACAAGGACGUCGAGCCCCUAAAGGGGGUGGAUUGUAACAUCCCACAUCGACCAACGAAGAGGUGGUAAUGUGCUUUAUAUGUACAUACCCACCUCUAUUUAGCACGAUACUUUUUGGGAGCUCACUGGGAGCCUAAAGUGGACAAUAUCGUGCUACGACAGAGCCGAUCCGAGAUGUGACAAUGUACGAGUUAGUCUAAAUACCAUAGGUAAUUCAUGAAAAAGAAAAACUAUGCGGCGACCUCAAAUGGUUAGUUAAUAGGUAAGUGAAUAAGAGGCUAGAUCGGAUUACUAGUGGUGAAUUCAUUGUCCUAGUGCUUUUAUCGAUUUGAAUUUUUCAUCCUUGUGUUUCGUGACUUUUUACUUGUUUUGUCUUUUAAUUUCGUUGUUAAUUAAAUCAUUCUUUCAAAAACCCUUUUUGUGUUUACGUGAGUAUGCUACGCGUCUAAUUUCUUGUUUAUGUAAUUAGAGUAAUUAAAGUAUUUUGUGAAGUAAAUUAGGUUAGACUAAUUGAAAGUUGAACUCAAUCUUCAUAGGAAUGACCUCGUAUUUACCAUACUAAAUUACAAUUGACCUCGUACACUUGCGAUUAUAAUUUGUGUUUAGACUAAUCUUUAUAAUCUCUAUUUUUCAAGUUGUCUAAAAUUCACAACAUGUCUUUCUAGUAGUCUUUUGUUUUUCUUGUUAUGAUUGAAGGUUUAAUUUUAUUUAAUCAUGAUUAUGCAUUUAUUUUUCUUAAUUAAUAAGCUUUGUCUGUAUGCAUUUGUUCUUCUUAAUUAACCAACCGCCACCCAAUAAGAUUCCUGGCUCUGUCCAAAUCCCAUUACAUUAAUUUUUUGACAAUACAAAAUAAUUAAAAUAACAUUUGAAUUAACAUCAUGUUCCCGUGACAUCCAAAAAGGUUUUGCCAAAGAAAAUACAAUAAUAUUAAAUGCUCUUAUUUAAUAGUCUCAUUAAUAUGUUAAUAGUCAAGAACGAAUGGGCUGUAAGUAACCCAGCAUGGAAGGAUGUCAUCAAUUUUGAACAAAUAAUUUAUGUAUUUAUUUCUUUUUCAUUGCUGUUAAUUUUGCUUAGUUGACCUGUAAAUGGAUGGAAUUAGAGUCGAAUUAUUAUUGGAUUAACCUAAUAUAAAGUUUCUGUCUUGAGUGUCUAUGGUUUUUUGUGAGUUUCUGUGUGUUUUUCUUGUAGUCUUUUGUUUUUCUUGUUAUGACUGAAGGUUUAAUUUUGUUUAAUCAUGGUUAUGCAUUGUUAUUGUUCUUAAUUAAUAAGCUUUGGCUGUAUGCAUUUGUUCUUCUUAAUUAACCAGCAGCACCCGCCACCCAAUAAGAUUCCUGGCUCUGUCCAAAUCCCAUUACAUUAUUUUUUUUACAAUACAAAAUAAUUAUCAACAAACGACCAAACUAUGAACCAUUUCAAUCAAACCCAAAUUCCACAAACAUAAGGAUUAUGCCUUGCAAGCAAGCUUUAUAUAAAAAUAGGCAUCACAGAUUGAGAGGGUGCUUCUUAAAUAAUCAGCUUUUGGAAGCUCCAUCAAUCAACUUGUUGCUGAAGUCCCAGAGCUUUUUGGCUAAGUUUUCAUCUCUAGCAUAUGAGCUGGGUUUCAUCUCGUUACAGUCCACAUAGUAUUUUCCAGUCACACCUUUCACUUUUGGAUGCAGGGCUACAUACAAUGUUGUGGCUGCUCCCUGAUAAAACAUUCAAUUCAGACAAUGCAUGCAAAAAUAUAUUAAACAAUGAAAUAAAAUUGAGAUUAGCUCAGUUGGUUUGACUCUUCGGCCUCAAGCCCUGUGAGCAGAGGUUCGAAACCCCAGGCACCCAGGAAUGUUUGUGUGUAAACCCCCUGUCUUCCAACCGCUUGUACUAAAAAUAAAUUUGAGAUUAUUUGAUGGAGAUUAACAAAUUAAUCACCUGAGGGACAUUCUUCCAAAACCAAAAGGUGAACAACUUCAAAGUUCCUGCAUAACAAAGAUGAUCAAAGCCAAUGGCCUAGCUGUGAUACAAAUUACAAUAUGUGAAAGUGUAUAUAUAUGUUGGGUGGGAAUAUCAAAUUAUGCAUGGGAUAUUUGUACAUACUCAUCAAAAGAGCAGAAUGCCUCAUGAGAGGUGUCAUGAUCAAUCCUGGGUGGACUGAAUUGACUGUUAUGUUCACACCUUCUUCCUGCACAGCACGGCAAGCAAUUUGCCACUUUAUUAGAGCAGAUUACUUGCAUAUUAAUUUACCUUCAUUGUCUGACUUUUCACAGAUGAGUUCGAUCAACACAAUAAAUCGCCUGCUUGAAAUUUUAAAACUUUCUGUUUAGGUUUUAGUCAAUUGGACCGAAAGAAAUCACAUGCCGACCUACACGGUGUAAAUUGAUAGUACGGUAACAAUUUAUCAAAAUUAUGCCUAACUCCCAACUAGAUUUUACCCAACAAAUUAAGACCCUAUCUUAGAGAGAGAGUUCACUUCCUUCUAGGACUCACAGUCGUUCAUGCAAACAGUCCUUAUGAUUCAAAGUUCACACACUGUGAGUACAGGAUACCUGUCUGUCUACGGGACCAUGAAUGGGGCAGUGAUUAAAUUUAAAAUUCCAUUUAUGGGCCUCCUCUCCGUCUCAAUAUUUAUUUCAUCAAUGUUUUUUGGUCCCCGCAAAGCAUUGAAGACCUCUGAAUUUUGUACGUACGGAGAGCCAUCUUUCGUUAACAUUCAAUCGACUCUUGACAGGACACCAUGUCCAUAUUAUAUUAUCCACCAGCCAGCCCUACCACUUCAUGUGCCUCCAUAAUCAUGUAGUUCUCACCAAUGCUUAUUGAAGAGUCUUUGGACAUUAUAGUUAACUAGUGGAGGCCAGUGAUUAACGAAACUGGGAAACAUUCACCUACCACAACUACCAUUUACCUGUUUUCAUUUGGCUAAAAUGAGAAUGAUAAAGAUAACUUGGGGUUGAGCUAGGGUUCUAUGAGCAAUUAUGUAGGAAAUAGGAUCACCUGCAAUCGACGAGAGAGCUCGUUGGCAUGAAGUAUGUUUGCUAAUUUGGAUUGCCCAUACGCCCUUUUGUCAUUGUAACUGAGGGGACACAAAAAAAAAAAAAAGACAUCAAGUUAAAGCGCUAUGAACUGUUUAUCAUAAUCUUUUUAUUUAUAAAUAACCACUGUGGAAAAAAGAUACCUCAUUCGAUCGUUAAUCUUAUCGAAAUAAAUCCCAUCUUUAUAAGUGUGUACAUGAGCAAUUGAUGACAGAUUCACAAUUCUGCCUUCCACACCAGUAGUUCUAGCAGUGUUCUUCAUUUUCUCAAGGAGAAGGUUUGUUAAGAGAAAAUGACCUGUAAAAUUGGUAAUUGGCUUAACUAGAACGCAAAUAGGUAACAAAGGUUUAAAACCCCUUCUUUUCAUAUAUAUUUUUCCCAAUUCAGGAUAUGAGAUAGGCCCUACAAUAAUUCCCAAUUCAGAAAGCAAAUAAGUAGGACUUACCAAGAUGAUUGGUUGCAAACUGCAAUUCUAUUCCAUCUUCCGAAAGCCGGUGGGGGCAGAACAUGACACCAGCAUUGUUUCUGCAACAUAAACCACCAAUUUCUGAAAAACUAAAUAAGAUGCAGAUGCUAAAAUGUUACGUGAAGCCUAAAUAAAAUAAGAGAGAAAAAGAUCAUUACAUUAAGAGGUUGAGAGGAAGAUCAAGAGCAUUGAAGCUGUCAACAAAUGCUCUAACAGACUUGAUGGAGCAGAGGUCAAGUGUUAGAACAUCAACUCGAGCACUUCGAUUGUCUUUAAGAAUGAGCUGCUUUGCUUCCUUCGCAGCCUCUACGUUUCUGGAGGCAAUGAUGACAUGGGCUCCUCGAAGUGCCAAGACCCUUGCAGUUUCCAACCCAAUCCCACUUGCCCCACCUGCAUUUCACAAACAGGAACAGAAAUGUUAAUCAAAUAGAAAUGUUGGGCUGUUGGCUUUUUGCUAGCUACCCAAGAUUUAUCAUGAGAAUGACUCAAUACAUCUGAUCGGUAGUCCCAAGGAGCCACAGAAACCCAAAAGAAAGGACAUUAAGAAACAAAAACACAGAAUUCAAAGAGGAAAAUGCAAAAGUUAUAGCUGACCAGUGACAAUAGCAGUAAGGUUGCUAGCAUCAACUCCAUCAGUGACCUGCUCAGCAGUGGAAGCUGAUCCAAACCCACUAGGCCCUGGCCUUCCUGUCACCAAUGCAAAGAUACCCAUUUCCUAAAAUCACACAAAAGACCCAAUCCCAAUCAGAAAACUCACACAGAAGCACAGAGCAAGUUCCCCUUUUUUUUUCCUCUCACUCCACAAAUAUGUGAGACAAACUGACAGACCCCUCUCUUUUUUAUAACAUUUGGAAACAAAGCAUUGGGAGAGGGGUAGAGGGUAAAAGAAAAAGAUGCCUCAAACCAUAAGAUGAUAAGAAGGGAAAAAGAAAAAAAAGAGGAAGGAAAUGCAUGGGAAAUUCAUGUAUGGUCUGGUUGAAUGUAGGUAAUAAAUUGGGUUUAAUUGGAGCUACUGUAUUGUUGACAAGUAUUAAAUGCUCUUCGGUGAAGAGCAGUUAAUUGGCCUCAACCAACCCCACAACAGCUCAACAAUGUAGCUUUCUUUGGAAAAUUGAAAGCCAUGAUCCUUGAAUUUAGUGCUGUUUUUUUUGGUACUGGGGAUUCUUCCUACAUCAAUUGGGUUCUAUUUUUAUCAUCAACUUGUGUAGAAUGAUCAACUAUGAUUGGUGUGCCUUAGUCUAAAGUAGGGAAGUCGGGGGUUGCAUUGCAUGCACAAUCACAAUAUAUUUACCAUUACAUUGUGUGGUGAUAUGAAACCAAACUACCAAACUACCCAACAAUACCAACUAUGUGCUACAUAUAUAAUUGUGAAUCGAUUGGAUCCAACUGGUCCCAGCUUGGAAUGAUGAAACAUCUUCAUUAUGAUCAGCUUGCUUGAAUGGACCAUGCUUCCAUUUUGGAAAAAUAAAGGGUUAAGCAAUCUAGUUUAGAUCCUUUUUUUUAACCGCGGUCAAAUUAGUCAACUGAUAAGCGAUGAUGCAAUUUGAGUGGCGGUUUAGGUGAAAUUAAACACAAUAAUUUUAUACUUGAAAGUUGAAACGAACACAUAUAAAACAAACAUUCCAACAGCCGCUAUAAUUUCUAAACAUCUAACAUCCUGACUAAUAGUCAAAUAAAAAUAAUAUAGAUAUUUGAUUCGGUUUAGGCGGUUUUCAUGUAGAUCUCUUAUCACCAUUCAUGAAAGUGUUAAUUAGCAUUGCUUAAAUAAAUUAAUAAAAUUCAUCGUGGUUGUUUUGGUGCUGGGGAACUAACUAAACAGGCAAAAUGCUUGUGAACAUCCACCAAUCGUGAACUAAUGUGUCUUCCUGCCUUUCUUGACUCACCAAAAUCCUAGGAUUGUGAACGUAGGAACAACGUUCGGGCAUUAAUUCUUUCUUUCUAUCCCUUAAAAGCAUAAAUAAAUAAGGAAAAAAAAAGAUUUUUUUUUAUUUUUAAUAUAAACGAUAAUCUAAACUGCAAGAGUAGAGAGUUUCUCACACAUAUGUUGAAAUUUAAAAUUACUGAUAUGUGCGAAAAUAUCUUUUUCACUGAAUUAGACCUGUCGAUAAAAGAAGAAAGGAUUUAAAUUAUGCUGGUUCAUGCAUUGACAUUAAAUAUACUCAUGCUCAUCCAAUCCUUUGAAAUGUCAUAAAAGAGUGUAGACAUGGGCGUGCGUAUUGGCUACAGAUACAGUGUCUGAUCCAUCGGAGCUAACAGUAGCUGUCUCUCUCUGCAGUAUUAUUGUAAGGCUAAUCCUUUAGAGGGUCAAGAAAAGUCCACGAGAUGAGACCACAGAAAAAAAGAGUAUGGAGCUAUAAAAUAUAAAUAUAGAAUGACUGACCCCUCUCCCAACUAGCUCUUUUUACCAAAACGGUGAAGAUGCUUGGAUGUCAAAAUUCAUUAUGUGUUUCAAUACCUAAAUUUGAAGAUCAAUUUGAUUUGAUAUUUAGAAUGAGCGGAGUGAUGUAUUUGAUUACGAAUUUUGACAUGAAAUUUGUUUGUCUUUUUCUUUGUCUUGACCAACAUGUCUAAUUCAAAUUUAACGGAAUUAGAAUUAUUUCAAUAUCGAAGUAAAUGAAUAUGUGAUUGAUUUUCCUUAAUUCUAGGACUUUAUGAUUAUGACAUAUGAGACGGUACAAUAAUGCAUAAAGGUGUGUGAAACUUAUCUCUAUUAAGGCCAUGUUUGGUUAACUGAACGGAUUUGAGGGGAAAUAAUUUCCCAUGUUAUUUUUAAUGAUAUACUAUAAUUCAAAUUGUUAAUUGAAUAAAAUAAUCAUGAAAAAUGUGCAUUUAAUGUUGGCUCAUUUUUCCAAACUUUCCCAUGAUGAGAGAAAACAAAACCCAAGUUGGGAGGAUAGCUUCACUUUCCUACCUACUUUCCCAUGUGCAAGAUAACCAUUUUUCAUACUUGGAUUUACCAAACAUAGGAAAGCAAUUAAUUUGUUAUCCCCAAACCUCCUUUUCUAUGAACCAAACAGAGCAUAAUAGUGCAUAAAAGUUAGCAGCUUUUUAAAACUAGGCUAUUCAAUAAGGAGGCCCUAAGGCUUUAAUUAAAAUUUUAAAAUCAGCAGAACUCAACCUAAUAUUAUUGACUGCAUUAACAUGCAUGUGGGGGUUCCUUUCUAUCAAUGGAAUCACAAUGCAACUUCAACUUGUAUCAGUUCCCCUUGCAAUACAAUAAAAUCGAAUUUUUUUUCUCAAAAAAGAAAAAGAAAAAGGAGAGUGGGUGGCAUAGUUAAGGAUUUCUCCUCUUUUUUUUUUUUUAAUUACAAAAAUUAUAAGGGUAAAAUUGGAAAGUUAUAAAAUACUUGAGAAUUACACUUUGUUGAAAAAUAUGGAAAUUGGGGCCUAGUUCCAAAAAUUACUAAAACUAAGAUACCAAUUAUCUAUCUACCUACCAAUUCAUUCCAAUUGUCCCAUGUGAGAUUCCUAAUCCACCUAUUAUAGAACAUAGUAUUUAUUUGAGUUAUUUACACUAUCAUCUUCUGAAGUUUCUUGUGUUUUCACAAAACCUCAUCAAGUCUCAAAAUUUACACGAAUAUCCCUUGAGAUUUCAGUUUGUUUUCACAAAACUCAUUUUCGUUGAUUAUUUGUCCAAAAAUUGAUGAUUUCAUUAUAAAUAAAUAAAAACUUAUGCAAAUGACAAAAUAAACCUCAAUGAAGUAUAUGCAAUCUAAUCUUAAAGGGCAACUUUGACAUUUGGAGAUUCUUGUGUGUAUAAAAUCAUCAAUCUUUGGAUAAAAAAUCAAUUAAAAGGAGUUUUGUGAAAACAAUUUAAAACCUCAGGGAGUGUUCUUGUAAUUUCUAAAAUUUUAAGAAAUUUUGUGAAAAAAUUAAAAACCUAAAAGAGUAUUAGUGUAAACAACUCAAUGUAUUUUCCUUCAAUAUUUCAUGCAGGGAUUGGCAUAUUUAUUUACAACAUUUUUUUGGAGAGAAAUGUUACAGGCUUGAAAUCAUUUGGGGCUUUUAUUGUAAUUGAAAAAUAAUCAUUUGGGCCUUUCAGUAUCUAGCAAAGCUCUAAGCCCAUUUGUCUACCUUUAUAUGGUCUCAUUCUUCUGAAAUCUUUUCCACCUCUUUCUUUUGAAUGUGGCAAUGUUCAGUUUCAAGAUCCAAAGUUAGAGUGGGCUUCUGGGCCUAAUGAAUAUUGUAUAAAAUAUUCCUUCCCCAAGCCAUUGCCUAAUAAUGUGAACGGCAGUUGUUUAUGGAAUUACUAUUCUUCCAAUUGAAGUAUUUUUGACUUUUUAUGGCAAAUAUUAGUAUCGCAUAUAUGCGACUACUCGAACUCAUAAGGUUAAGUCAAAAUGUGAGUUAGACAAUAUACCAUAGCUAGGGCAAGAGGUCGAAGCUACCCUCUCAGUCGCUUUUUUAUAACCAAAACAUCUAAUUUUAUUGUACACUCUAAUAUACGUGAACUAUACGUAUACUAAAUUAACAAAAACAAUUCAAAGAUAGAGUAAGAGAUUAUAAUGGAAUUAUAACUCUUCAACAAUUUGUCCUGAAAUAUUUUCGUCACCAUACUUAUCUGUUUCUUAUUUCUUUAUCGAACUUACCAAUUUAUGGAUCUUCUUCUUUUGACAAUCAUUCAUACUAGAGUAAAUUGUUUACACCAUAAUCAACUGAGCAUAUCCAACAUCAAAAAGACUAGCACCAAGGCAAACAUGCCUUCUCCCCUACCAAAGGAAGACACUCUACCGAAGUGGCAAACACCUGCCGAAACUCUCGACUGUCAAACCUAAUCUCCAAGACACGUGACACCACCACAACGACUUGCACAAAGUCCCACAUUGAAACUUUGUACAAGGCUCCCAUUUUUACUUGUACUCGAGUAAAAGAGGUAACUACUUUCUCACCUUUUACCGUUAUUCUGUCAAAGUUACCACUUAUAGCUGACUUAAGCAUCGGAGGGCAUUCGGCAGGCACCACAUCGAUGUCCGAAACUUGACGACUACUUUUUCGUCUUUGUCUUCUGUAGGUUAUUCUCUUAUCGAAAGUUCUCACAUUCUUCCCUGCUGAUGACUCUUUAUUUCUCUCUAAGUUGACCCUCUCAAAAGGAGUAACAACAUAAAUAAUUGUUUAAAACAAUAAAUUUUAGCUAGUUAUAAACUUGCGCGUGAAUUGGUAAAAAAAAAAACAAUAUAAUUGUACGAUUUAACAAGAUGAUGAAAUAAAAUGAAAGUUGAAUGAAAUGAUAAACUGUCACACAAAAUACGUUAACCAACGAAUAAAAUAACAAAUUUUUUUUGUUUUUUGGUUGAAACAAAUUUAGUAAGUUAGUUGUUUCUAAAUUCAUAGGAAGGAACAGAGAAGUAGAACUAAAAAUCACCGCACGUGCCACCCUUGAGAUAUGCAGCCAGAGAGCAGUGGACUCCAUCUGUUCGUCUAAUCCAUAAAACUAUAAAAAGUGUUCGACGAAUUAACGCUGUCGGUGUUCCCCUAAUUCUAAUUCCUCUCCCCAAACAGGGUGACAUUCCGCCUCCCUUCCUCUCAAUUAAAUUCUCUCUUCUUUUUUCUUUUUUUUCAUAAAUUUUGAUCUCAAUUUUUUGAUCCGAUUUUGUACAAUCCGAUUCAGAUCGGAACGGAUCGUAACCCCCAAAAAAUGGCGGCAUCUCGGCGGCUCCGGGACCUGCAAUCGCAGCCAGGGAACAAGAUCUGCGUCGACUGCUCCCAGAAGAACCCGCAAUGGGCUUCGGUAUCCUACGGCGUCUUCAUGUGCUUAGAGUGCUCCGGCAAGCACCGCGGCCUCGGCGUCCACAUCUCCUUCGUCCGAUCCGUCACCAUGGACUCCUGGUCCGAGAUCCAGAUCAAGAAGAUGGAGGCCGGUGGCAACGAGCAGCUCAACGCCUUCCUCGCCAGCUACGGCGUCUCCAAGGAGACGGAUAUCGUCACCAAGUACAACACCAACGCCGCCAGCGUCUACCGGGAUCGGAUUCAAGCCCUAGCCGAGGGGCGUCCUUGGCGGGACCCACCCGUCGUGAAGGAGACCCUAGGGUUCGGGAAAUCAAAGCCACCUUUGGCCCAUGGAGGCGGCGGCGGCGGCAGCAGGGGUGGUAAUUCGGGGAACAAUGGGGGGUGGGAUAGUUGGGACGACGACGGUUUCAGAUCGUCGAACGAUAUAAGGAGGAACCAGUCGACCGGCGACUUCAGAGCUGGUGGUGGUGGUGGUCAUGGUGGUCGUGGGGAUGGUGGAUAUGGAGGAAGCAUGCCCGCCAGGUCGAGGUCUACGGAGGACAUUACGAGAUCGCAAUUUGAGGCCUCGGCGGCGAACAAGGAGAGCUUUUUCGCGAGAAAAAUAGCAGAGAACGAGUCGCGGCCGGACGGGCUCCCGCCCUCACAGGGCGGUAAGUAUGUCGGGUUUGGAUCGAGUCCCGCGCCUUCCCAGAAUCAUCAGAAUGUGAAUGCACAAGGCGAUGUGUUAUCUGUUGUUUCUCAGGUUGCAUUAUUUUUGUUUUUGUGUUUAUUUUGAUGUGUGAUUGAUUGUAGCUGGAAAUGGCUGAAUAUUGAUACACAUUACAUGUAUGUUUUUGGUUUUGUACUUUUGUCAUUUGAAUAGGGUAUUGGUAAGUUAUCUUUGGUUGCUGCAUCUGCGGCUCAGUCGGCUGCGAGUGUAGUCCAGGCAGGCACGAAAGAGCUCACUACAAAGGUAUUUUACUUGUCACUCUUAAUUUUGUCUGAUGUUAGAUGACCAUUCUGCCAGGCAUAGGCAUUGUAUCUCUGUUCAUGCAUAUUUAUUCUGUCUUCUAGUUCCAGUAGAGUAGUUGGUUUGCAAUUUCUCUUAUAGUGGUAGUUCGAAAUUAUUGAAAUGCUAUGCACGAAGAAUCCGUUCUUGUGGUUAUUGAAAUGCUAUAGACAUAAUGGGUUUAAUGCUUAUAUUGAAUGCUGUGAAUGGAGGAACUUUGUAUGUGUACGGCAUUUCUUUUGGCUAUGGUAAUAAGAUGAUAUAUGUUUGGCGCCACUUUUUCUGUUUGUAAUUGCUUCUGUCAGUCCAAUGACAUACAACUUCAUGCUCCGUGCCUGUAAUAUGAAAUGUAUUUGGAGCUAGGUAAUUCUAGCUUUACUGCAAUAGGAAACAGAAAUAAACGAAACAAAACUAAAACCAAAAGAUCUCUUACCUUCUAACGUAACUAAUAUCAGGUACUCAUUAAAAAUAAUUAUAUUUCAACUUUCCAUUUGGAUCACCUUUAGAGAAGGACAAGGAAUAGAAAAUUGGUAGUAUUCUGAAUGAAAAAGCUACAUUCUCUUUGUUCUUUCAAAUAUUCCGAUAAGUUGGGUGAACAGCCCUGAAAAAGCUACCUCUGUUAUUCAUUUUCACCCUUUUUCACCAUUUCUACUAUUUUUUAACUAUCAAAUUUUAAUAGGUUAACUCCUCAGAACUUGAAGCUAAUGACUUGCUUCAUGGAUGUAGUAAACACCUCAUACUCAUAGUGUCUUGAUCUCCCGUCUUAACAUAUCAAAGUACCAUUAUAAAUCAUAACGUCUCCAUUUGACGUAAAAAACAACUACAAAAACACUCUAGCCCAGCCCUCUCAUGGUGUCAAUUACUGGCAAACCACCACUGCUAGUCAUUGUUUUAAGUAACAGCCAGAUUAAAUAUUAUUCCCCCUGGGGUAAUUAAAUCAACCUAAAUAUCCUGAGGUUUGAAAAUUUAUGAACCCGUUACCAUACUACAAAUGUAAGGCUAUUUCGAGGGGCAAAAAACAUCUAUUAUGAAGACGCAUCUUGGUAGUAACCCAUUACCUUUGUUUUCUCUUUGUUUUCUUUAUUUUUUACAUUGCUUUGAGUUUUGAGAAAGGUUUGUGUGUUUUUAGUCUUCAUCUCUAUGGGGGUGUGUGUGUGCAUGGGUGAGAGAGAGAGUUGUAUUAUUUGCUUUCGGAUUAACUAAAUAUUCUGUAUUUUUUUAUAUACCAGGAAUGCAUAUAUUGUAAGCUAACUUUCCAAUUUCUGAACUUUGAUAAAGGAGUUGUGUGAUUAAACUCUUAUAACAGGUGAAAGAGGGUGGCUAUGAUUACAAGGUGAAUGAAACUGUUAAUGUUGUCACUGCAAAGACUACAGAGAUAGGACAUAGGACUUGGGGGAUUAUGAAAGGGGUCAUGGCAAUGGCUUCACAAAAGGUUGAAGAGUACACUAAAGACGGAACAGCCUGGAAGGCUGAUAAUAACUGGCAACGAAAUGAUAGUGAACAAAAUGGAUAUUAUCAAGAGUUUAAACAGGAGAAUAAACAAUGGAAUUCUUCUGGAGGGGGCCAGUCAUCGAGUGGGAAUUUUAAUUCAUACGGCUCGAGUUCUUGGGAUGAUUGGGACCAAAAAGACAAUAGGAAGCAAGAGACUACUAAGGGAACGGGAUCCAAUAGCAGUGACGGUUGGGCUGGCUGGGAUGAUGGCAAAGACGAUGGAUUUGAUCAUUACCAGAGUGCAUCUGUUUCGAAGGCUGCUGGUCACAAUGGGAAAUCGGAUUCAACAUGGACUGGGGGAGGCUUUAACUAAGGUUAGUGUAUCCCAAGGAACAUACUUUCAUUGUAAUUUAAAACUUUUUCCCAGUUUUGUCCUUUUUGUGUUUAAAAGUAGAUUGUAUGUUCACCACAAUAGUAUUCCACGGCUACAAGAGGGUGCUAGAAACGUUAUUUGUCUUGAAUUGUAUUUGGCUAUGAUAUACAAGUUUUGAGACUCAUUCCUGUUUUGGUUGUGUUUUCUUCGUGUGUCCAAGUAGAAUCUUACAUGGUCUCAACAAAUUUCUGGUUGACCCAUAAGUUGCGGAAACAAAUUAUUAGCACGCAAAUUGAAGGCCGCCAAGAUUGAUGCCUAAGGUGAAGGAAAUGGAAUUUGAUGAAUGUGGAAUUUGUUAGCAGCUGCUGCUGACUAAUUGGUUGGUUGGUGAUAAAUUGGAUUUGAGAUCCAUUUCCAUGGAAAAAGACACUUUUGUUGAGUUUAGUAUAUUUGCAGAAAACGUUUUUUUUUUUUCCUUUCUUUUUCUUUCAUCUUUAAAAGAUUUUAUGUAACUUAAUUGGGGAUAUUUGGUGUUUUUCAAAGUUGUUUAUAUGUGUACAACUAUUCACAAGAGGGUUAAUUGCCCAAUUCAAAAGAGUACUGAAAUGUUCGAAUUUGUUUGUGAGAUUUGAGUAAUGAAAAUUUCUUUUAAUUUGCAAUGGUUCUAAGUAUGUUAUCCUAAUCCUUCAUUUGUGUUCUGAUAUGUUUUCUCCGUUUGAAAUCCCAGUAAUCUGCAAUCAAUUGAAGGCAUUUUCUUUGUUGAAUUAUUGGCAUGGUAUAGUUCUCGCAUCAUCCAGAGAGUUAUUUACUGCUAUGAAUAGCACGAUUCCGAUGCGAUGUCCUCCGAGACCAAGAACAAAUAGUUUGCAUAAUAGAAAAAACUACAUUCUGCCUCUCGAAUCUUAACCCGGUAUCUUUCUUCUUCUCUGUUCUACUGCCUUAAUUGUUUCACAUACCCUUACAAGGAGAUAAAACUAGCAAAUGCAUUGAUCGAUCUGCUAACAUUAUUAACAAAAUUGAACUAAACUCCAUUAUUCGUAAUUUUUUUAACAUGUGGAGUCUGCCUCGCCAAAUGACAAACUAAUUUACAUAGCUACAAUUACAAAUCCUGGUCUCCAACUGCCUUCGAUCAAAUCAUUUUUUACUUCGUGGUGCUUGUAUCACAAGUAUGGAGGACAAGAUCCCAUGUGAGGACGAAGCUAAUGCAUCUCCAAUUGGUCCCAGUUCAGCAUGCUCCAGCUGCUGGUGAGCCAGUUCUGCAACCAUGGCUGGGUGGUGCUGCUCCUUCCCCACGAUAACCAGGUCGUAUUCUGUGCUCUGACCUAUACUCACUACCGUCUCUGCAACAUUGCUGGCCACCACCUUCUCUAUGUAUUCCACUGACUCAUUAGACCUCUUCAGCUCUGCCACUGCAGCCUCAUCAACUUCCCUCUCAUGGCUCUGCUCCAAGCUGUCUGUUCCCUCAACCUGAAUCCACUUCACAACUGUGACCAUAACACUUGGAUGCGCCAGUCUCCAUCCAAACUCCAAAGCCUCACGGUCGUCGGGUCCACCCGCAAACAAAACGCACACCCUCUUCGAAAUGGUGGCACUUGAGGGCGCUCCACGCCUCUCAGGUCUGCCACCAAAUCCACGAUCCACAAACAAUGCCACCGAGCAAUUUGCACUGCUUAAUACCCUCUGAUUGACCGCUCUCCAAUCAUGGCCCAAAUUCUCCAUCGUCUCUUCAACAUCUGUUCUGCACUGUCUGUUAAAAGGCAAGAUGAUGAUCGACACCCUCUUUUCUUCCGCGACGUGGAGUAUGUCCUGGUGCAUUGUGGACAAUGCCGAGAUGGCCGUCGUGUGGCGGAUGGUGACUUGACCAACUCUACCAUACGCCUCAAAUGCUGCCGGGAUUUGGUCCUGCGAAACCCCUUGACAUAGGCGGUUGAUGAAGGGAAAACCAUUUUUUCGAACACGGUGUACCAUCAUAAUCGAAGAUGAACGAUCAGUGAGCUCAACAAGAUGCAUGACGUAAACUUUGAGUGGCGGUGAGUUUUCGAAGGCGGUUCCGGUUGACUCUAUGAGGUUGAUGAGGGAGGGUACGCUUCCGGGGCCAUGAAUGCAAGCAAGGAUUCGAAGGUCCUUCUGUUUCUUUGAGCUUUUGGUUGGAGAAUGUAAGAGACGGGGAGUUGGAGAAGCAAUGACGUCCCACGAGGGAUUGUAAAUGGCCAUCACAGCUGGAGUUGUCAUGAAGGUGGUGAAAAGUGCCAUCAGGACUAAAAUAGCAAACAUCUCGUCGUUUAGAAUCUGCAAAGCGAAGUUUCCAAAAGUUAAUCCCCCAAGGUGGCAAUAACAGGACUAGAUAGUAAACAAACAUAGAUGGAUGGACAGUGAAUAAGUGCAAGAAUUCAAAAUUUAAAUUCUGAAAUUCAUUACAAGGAAAUAAUGCAUUGAAAAUCUAAAUUUAAUGCAUUAUUUCUUUGUAAUGAAUUUCAGAAUUUAAAUUUUGAAUUCUUUCUUUGAUAAUAUUUACCUAUAUAUGGAUAAAAUAUAAUUUAAUCAAUGAAAAAUAAAGACCCACAUAUUAUAUCAAUUAUUUAGGUAAGCACCCACAUGAAUUUAUGUACCUAACAUACAGGUAAAUAGUGUUAUUAUUAGCAAUGGAAAAAACUUAGUGAUAAAUUGUGUUACCUAUAAGUUAGGAACAUAAAUUAGAAGACUACUUAUACGUUAGAUACAAAAAUAGACACAUAAAAAUUGUAUGUUACUUAUUAAAAAAAAAAAAGGUAUAUAAAAUACUAUUAUUCAUUGUCAAAAAUAUGAAAACACAUAAAUACCUAUGCAAUAGGCAAUAGAACAAUAUACCUACACCAUAGGAUAAUAUAUCUACAAGAGUAUGUAAUAUACUUCUACCACAGGGACAAAUGAAUUUCAAGAGACUUUCUGUAUCUGACAUCAAAAUUGACGUCAAAAUGGUCCCCAAGAAAAGUUGACAACAAGUGUCACCAGCAUUAGUACCAUUUGAGGAAUAUUCUGCCAUAAUUCUCUGCUUGCUAUGGAAGCAUAUUGUAGGCUUAUUUUUUGAAAUUGUCUUUCAUCCUUUCACUAAUGACAGUUUUUCACAGAGGCUGCUGAUGUGAAGAAGAAGUGGGAGAACAGUUCUUGGGGUAGGAAAUUGAUUCAAAGAGGAGAGAACGGUUUUUAUUUAAAUGCUCUCUGGGAUAUGUUUGCAAUAUUUUCCUUUUUUAUUCAAUGACAAAGUCAUAAAUGGCUAAUUAUUAUUACAUAACUUAUUAUUACCUGAAUCAAGGCAUAAUGGGCAAUAUUAGAAUAAAAAAUGAUUUUAAAAAAAAGAAAGAAGAUUACAUCAGAAAAUAUUAAAAAAUAAAUGUAAUCAUAUAUGGCAUAAGAGUCAAAGAACUUGUAUCAAAGUAUCCAAAUCCAAGGAUUAAACCCAACUUUGGAAUGAAAAUUUAGAUAUAUAUAAACUUUUCUUUAAAAAAAGCUUCCUUCCUAUGAAGCGAAGAUGGAAAAACUUAGUGUUGCGUGACCUGGGUUUGCACUAUGGAUUAAUUUUUCAGUCAAAUAAUUAAAAAUGAAAAUGAGACGAAAAUACAAAGUUUAGUGACUCUAGCAUAUAAAAAAAAAAUCUUUAUUAUAGUACAUAUAGUGCGUUUGUAUAGAUUUUGUGACCAGAGUGUUACAAAAAUGAAAUCUGCCGUAAAAUAGAAUAAUUAUAGUGUAGCACUGAAGUAGGUUCAUGUAAUAUUAUAACAAGUAUGUUUAUAUUGUAUAUUAUUAUAAGUGGGUAUUUGUAAAAUAAAAAAUACACGUACCUUCUUUUCCUUUCCAAUAUUGAGAACAAUGAGCUCUACCAACCCUUUGGUGUUCAUCAACACACCCAAAGCCAACGACUCUCUUACUGGUAUCAUACACAACAUGGCAACCAAAAACGUUCCCAAAAUCUUCCCUGUGCAGGACACUGAUAUCACCAAAGCCAACAGUCCCCAUGCCUUGACCCCUUGAAUUUUAGCCACAUCCGUCCUCAAUCCACUUGAAGCAAAGUAGAGAGGGAGAAGCAAACCAGACACAAAAUCUUCAAUCCUUUUGGUCAGUUUGGCUGCAAACUCCCCCUUUGGGAUCGUUAACCCGAAAACAAAAGCUCCGAAUAUGGCAUGGACACCGAUGAGGUCUGUCAUAAACCCGGAUAUCAUUACCCCGGCUAGGGUUAAGCAGAUGUAGGCCUCGUCCACUAAGCCAUCAUUGGAUGUGCUGCGUUUGGCUACCCAGUUCAUGAAGGGCCUGACCAAAGUUAGCUGAAAAGCAACAAAGGCAACACCUGAAAUUAGAACCCAAAGGGAUACUAAGGGGCUUUUGUGGUUCCCUCCGGCUAAGGCCACGGCCAAUGCCAGCAAUAUCCACGCAGCGACGUCGUUGAAGGCUGCUGCUGCCAUUGCUGUUUCGCCAACGCGAGUUGUGAGCAGUUUGAGCUCUGCUAGGAUGCGUGCGAGGACAGGGAAAGCGGUGAUGGAGAGAGCUACCCCAAUGAACACAAGGCACUGAGCGUAGCCCACUUUGUUCUCCCCAUGGAUGGCUUUGCGCAUGAGGAAUGUGACCCCUACUCCGAAGAGAAAGGGGACGGAAAUGCCUGAGAGAAUUUGAAGACUAAAGUUUCAAAAUUUGAGUGAAAUGUACUAAAAGAAAAUAUUGGAAAAUAUAUUGUAUCAGAUUGAAAUUUGGACCAUGCCUGCAAUGGCUAUGGUGAUGGCUUUUCUGCCACUGCGGCGAAUGGAGCUCAGAUCAAGCUCAAGGCCAACAAGAAAUAAGUAAAAGAGAAGGCCAAUGCUUGCUACGGAUUCGAGUAUGGGGGUGCUCCAUGAAGGGAAUAUGAUCUGCAAGAAGUGUUUGUUCCGGCCAAGUGCUGAUGGUCCCAACAAAAUCCCACCCUGAAUUGUACGCAAGAAAGUAAAAGCAAACAUUCUUUUCAGUCAUGCACAAAAGAAAAAAAAAAAACGUAGUUUUAGACAUAUAAGCACGCAUAUAUCAGCAAAAAUAAAAAAAUAAAAAAACAGUACUAAUAUUUCAGCGAUGACUUUAGGUUGGCGGAGUGGCUUGAGAAGUAAGGCGAGGAGGCGGCUAACGAAGAGGACAAGAGUGGUUUGAACUAUCAACAAUGGGAAGGCAUGGUGCAAAGGGUUGUCACCUUGCCAAGCCCCAUCUGAUGAAGUUCUCAUAGUGGUUAUGUUGAGCUCCAUGGUUGGUGGUAAUUGAAAGUUAGAUUAACUUUGAACCCUAAAUGACUGGCAUCUUUGUUCUUCACAAUGUUGAAUUGAAAUUAAAUGAGUAGCUGAUGAUUGAUUCUUAUAGGGGAUAAGAAAAGUACCAAGUGUUCUCAAGUCAAACCUACUGCCUUACCCACCCUGUUUACAUGUAUAAACAACGCUGCCUCCAACUAGACGGCAGAUAAUUGCUCCUCCCACUUAAGUCAAGUUCUUUUGUUUAUUGUUCGUUAUGCGCCACCAAUUAAUCCAGUGCUAAUCAUGAUGCUUCUUAAUUAAUCCCUUAAUCAUUGCUUUGCCUUGUCAUUAAUAAAUUUCUAAACUCUGAAUCAUUAGCUUGGCUCUUUUUCUUCAACGUCCAUCAUAAGUUGAUAACAAAACCUAAUCUCACAUAUUUUUUGGACAAGGAAACUUGUAACAAAACAAUACACUGUAUAUGACGAACACGUUAAUUACUUUUGGUCACACCGAUUCCUUAGAAAUUUCAAGCGCAUUGCUGGAAGAUUCAUCUGCUACGAACCUUUCGUAUUCAUGGUGCACUAUCUUCGACAUGGGAGUCUCCACGGCAUGCGCUACGUCAUGUCGUUGAAUCACAAGGACUGAUGAGACCACACCAUGAUCUGAUGAGGCCAACAUGUCUCCAACGGGGCCUAACUCCGCGUGCUCUGCUUGCCGGUCUGCCAAUUCUGCUACCAUGGCUGAUGGGAACCGCCCUUUUCCCACGACCAAUAGGUCUUGAUCUCCACUUCGUCCUGUGGCCAACACCCCCUCUAUAAUGUUAUUGGCUCCCACUUUCUCUAUGUAUUCUGCUUUCCCAUCCCACUUGCUUCUGAACUCAGCCAUUGCACCCUCAUCCAGUUUCUGAUGAUCAAAUUUUACCAUAAAUUAGUACAUACGGAAAAAGUUAAACGAGCUUAAAUUGUGUGAUUUGACUAAUCUAUUAGUGCAACACGGACAGGGUGAUGUGACGAAUGUGUGGUUAUAGAUGGAGGACAUAUUGCAAUGUGACUAAAUUGUAGCUAGGCACAAAUACCUUUUCUUUCUUUCUGUCCAUUUUAGCUGUGGAGAAGCUAUAGCUAUUAUCGAUGGACUUGGAGGGUGAGGGCUUUAACAUAAGCCCAUGAGGCCCAUUACUCUCCAAGCCCUCUUUCUCGACGAAUCUCACAACCGUCACUUUAACUGCUGGGUGUUCGGCCAUCCUACCACCCAACUCCAAGGCCUCGCGAUCAUCAGGCCCACCGAAAAAAAUAAUGCAUAUCCGUUGGGUCAGGAUGGUUGUAGGCUUAGGAGUUUGUGAUCUAGGGCGACCAAAUCCACGGUCUACGAGCACUGCAACCGAACACGGUGCAUUUUGAAGCACCUUUUGGUUGACCCCUCUCCAACUAUGGCCCACAAUCUCCGUUGUCUCCUGAUCAUCACCGUCGAACCUCAAUUGUUUGUGGAAGGGCAAGAUGAUCAUCGCCGCCCUCUUAUCUUCGGCCACGUGGCAUAUAUCUUCAUACAUUGUGGACAUAGCUGAAAUUGCAGUCGUGGGCCGGACCGAGACACGACCCAAUUGGCUAUAGGCUUGGAAAGCCCCGACAAUGCUGUCGUGCAGCUGGCCUCGGCCCAACCGAUUAAAGAAGGGGAACCCAUUUUUUCGAGCUCUUUGGACCAUGAUAAUGGAAGAAGAGCGUUCAGUGAGCUCCACAAGGUGCAUAAGGAAGAGUUUGAGUUGGGAUUUCUUGGAGCUCCGAAUGGACUCAAUGAGGCCAACCAGUGAAGGCACAUUGGGAGGCCCAUGAACACAUGCGACCACUCGAAGCUCGUCUUUGAAGGCCUCGCUGGUCGAGAGGUCACCUAGCUUGCGGCGAGGGCGCAAUGAGAUGCCACGUGCCGGCUUGUAAAUGGCCAUCACUAGAGGACUUGUGAUGAAGGUGGUGAAGAGUGCCAUGAGGACUAGAAUAGCAAAUGUCUCAUCAUUAAGCACCUGUAAUUAAAUAACUAGUAAUUCUUAAGAUAACAUUUUUUAACCCAAAGUUGCAAAAAUCACACAUCUUUGAUAUCACGUCAACUUGUCACAUACUUUUUCACAUAAUACUAUUAAAAACAUGUUUAAUGAAUAAUCUGACAACAUAACGCAUAUAUCAAUAUAUAAAACAAUGUUAAUAGACAGCUCUUAUAGACGUCCUCAAAUAGAAAGUUAGAAAUCUUGCACGCAAACAAAAAAUUCAUAAGAUAUAUAUAUAUAUAUAUUUAUAUAUAACACAAAGUCGCAAAUUUAUAUAUGUAUAAAGUUGCAAAUUUAUACUUUCCUCCAAAACCAUUACCUUUAGAAUAUGUAACUGAUUUUCUAGAAAGGCCAAACACACCAAGUUAAAGGGCAAUGCUACAGACAAUUUCUAUAUAUAUAUAUAUAUUAUUUAGACGCCCUUAAAUAGAAAGUUGAAGUCUUGAAGACGAAACAAAAGGUAAUAAUUCAUCAAAUUUCUUACAUCAAUAAUUUAUAUAUAUAUAUAUUUUGGCCGAACCAAUAAUUGAGAUUAUACAACCCAACUUUAAUCUUUGGAUGGAUUCACAAUAAAGCCAAGGCAAACAGGACAAACUUUACCCAAAGUCCUUGCUUUUUAACCUUUACAAACUUGUCUGUGUCCCUUAUUCUAUUCUUUUCAUGACUAUCUUUGUGGCAAAAAAAUUGGCACUGUGUGAGUGUUUGUUGCUUUUUAAUUUUCUGAAGACACGUAACUGUUUAAGGUUCUGUUUAAUAAUCAUUUCAUUUUUUAAUUUUUAAUUUUUAAUUUUUGUACGAAAAAGAAGGGAGAAUAAAGGUGAGAAUGAGAGUGAAGAUGAAAUUGAGAGGAAAUAUGAUACAUGAGGAUGUGAGGGAGGAAUAACAAAAGUGAAAAUAAAAACUAAAAAAUUAAAUUUAUUUGAAAUUAUUUUCACUUUUAUUACUCCUCGUUCCCAUCCUUUCUUCUCAUCAUCUUCUUAUCAAUCUCAUCCUCACUCUCAUUUUCACUCUUUUUUUUUUUAAUAUUUUAAAAUUAAAAUUAAAAUAAAAAUAAAAACAAAAAUAAAAAUAGUUAUCAAACCACCAUACAGGGUGAGGAUUGAUAUGAGCCACACAAGAGUUCAUGGAUUGGCCAAAAGCUUUUAGGAAAAUGGAGGGGGGGGAUCAAUCAAUAAAGCAAAAAAGAAGUGACAUAAAGUUCCAAUUUCCGCUGAAUGCAGUGUAAACAGACAAUAACGUAAACGACGGAUUACAAUGAGGAGGGUAAAAGUUGAUCUGUCGUUUUCAAAUGAUAUUGCAAAUGAUUCCCUAACAUGGCCCCAACAACUAGAACCGGCUGCCUUAAGUUAAUCCCAUGCUAAACAGUAUUGAUUAGCUGAUAUGAUGAAUUAGUUGUGAUACAUGCACAUGAAACCUAAGUUAAUUAUAUUCUCAAGUUUAGUUGAUUUUUGUUUGAAUUCACAGUCUAACACAACACGGCACCAAACAAUAUUACACAAUUCACAUUCAUUUUUUCAUAUGGGAGAUUUUAUGUUUGACAAGAUGUCAAGUAACGAUCAAUUAUGUUAUUAUCAAUCUCUCACAUUUCAAAUCCUAAUACGACUUUCACAUAAUAAGAUAUUUUAUAAAUGUAUAAUCACUUCUUUUGAGAACAAGUGGAGAGGAUACCUUUCGUUACAUUUGUAUGAAAUGUAUGAUUAAAUUGUAACUAUAAUUUUUUUUUAAAACACUUUCCUUUAAAUAGGUGUGAAGAGGACAGAAAAGAAAAAAAUAAAAUAAAUAAAGAGAGCUUUGGUCAUCAUACUACAAGCAAGAACAUGUUAAUUAUACAUGGCAAUUCAAUCAAUUUUCAUACUUGUUAUAGCAGUGCAUAUAAAUAAUUAAAAUGCCGAUGUAAAUGUGGUGGAAAUCAAUUAAAUAAAUAAUUAUAACUGACCUUUUUCUCCUUGCCAAUAUUGAGAACAAUGAGCUCAACCAAGCCUUUGGUGUUCAUGAGCACACCAAGCGUCAAGGACUCCCUAACAGGGAUCUUAAACAUCAAAGCCACAACAAACGUUCCCAAGAUCUUCCCGGCGCAGGCCGUGGAUAUAACCAGAGCCAGCAGCCCCCACGCCUCUCCUCCCUUGAUCUUCGCCACGUCCGUCUUCAACCCACUUGAAGCAAAGUAAAGCGGAAGCAACAGACCAGACACAAAGUCUUCCAUCCUCUGUGUCAACCUGUCUGCAAACAGUCCUCCUUUUGGAAUUGUUAGGCCAAACACAAAGGCUCCGAAUAUGGAAUGAAUCCCAAUUAGGUCUGUCACGAACCCGGCCACCAUGACUCCGGCUAGGGUCAAGCAGAUAUAGGCUUCGUCCACUGAGUCUUGCUCCGGGGAGCUGCGGCGGGCCACCCAGUUCAUGGCGGGGCGGAUCACCACCAUCAUGAAAGCAACAAAAGCAAGACCUGAGAUAUUCAAAAGCCAUUACUUACUACUUACAUGGAUAUACCAAAUAGUAACUGAAAAUAUAUAAAACAGCAGAAAAGUCAACAUAUAAAAUUAUAAUGAUUAGGCUUUAUACUAUUUCUCCAUUAAAAGUGAGAUUCAUUUCCACACAGAGAAUGUCCCUUUCUGUUAAACUAAUCAUACAAAAUAAUUAUAAUUAUAUUUAUAUUUAUUUAAUAUAUUAGGUGAAAAAGAAAACUAUGAAUUAUUUUUUGAGGAUAUUGUAUUAUUUUCAGACCAUAUAUACCUGAGAGGAAGACCCAGAUAGAUACCAAGGGGCUCUUCUUGUGUCCACCAACACCAUCACCGGCCAAGGCCACCGCCAGCGCCAGCAAGAUCCAUGCAGCGACGUCGUUUAAAGCCGCCGCAGCCAUGGCAGUCUCGCCAACCCGAGUGGUCAAAAGCUUGAGCUCCGCUAAAAUGCGGGCGAGAACAGGAAAAGCGGUGAUGGAGAGGGACACUCCCAUGAACACAAGGAACUGGGUGAAUCCAGCCUUGUCAGCUCCGUCGAUGGUUUUCCGGAGGAGCAAGGCAACUCCGAUGCCGCAGAUGAAAGGGACAGAUAUGCCGGCGAGGGCUAUGCCGACAGCGCUUCGGCCACUACGACGUCGGAUCGAGCUUAAGUCGAGCUCUAUGCCUACGAGGAACAAGAAAAACAGAAGACCAAUGCUUGCCACGGUUUCGAGGAUUGGGGUGCUCCAUGAGGGGAAUAUUUUGUGUAGGUAUUGUUUGUUUCGUCCGAAGGCUGACGGUCCAAGCAAUAUUCCACCCUAUAUAAUAAUUAUUCAACACAAGAUUAACAUUUGACCCCAAAAAAAUAAGUAAACACAAAAGAUUCGCGAUAUUGUAUAUUAUUAAAUGGGGAUUCUAAGUUCGAAAAUUAAAUAAAUCAAGUAGAUUUCUAAUAGUAUUGAAAGAGAUUUUAAAUUCGAAAAUAAAUAACUUACUGCAAUUUCGGCAAUGACUUUUGGUUGGCGGAGGGGCUUGAGAAGAAAAGCGAGGAAACGACUAACGACAAUGAUUAAGGUGGUUUGGACGAUUAAGAGUGGGAAGGCGAAGUUUAGAGGAUUGUCGCCUUGCAAUAAGCCACUUGAUGCGGUUUUGAUUGAAGUUAUGUUCACCGGAGCCAUAGUUAUGUAUGAACUAAGAUGUAAUAGGAUAUCAUGGAAAAAUCAAAGCAAUAUAUAUAUAUAUAUAUAUAUAUACAGAGGGAGGGACGGAAGGCAAUUGAAGUGUUGGUUGUAAAGUGAAUUCACUGUGCGCCCAGAUUAAAUUGGAUUUUUUUAAUACAAGUUUUUAAGGAGAAGUAGAGAAUUGAAUCUAAGAUCUAAGGUCAUCUCAGUCAUAUAUGGCACCUAAAGGGGUCGUUUGGUACGUCGGACUGUCAUAGACUGGACUAAAUCCUGGGACUGUCUUGGAUUAGCUCGGAUUGGCCUAAGCUGGAUUAAGUACUGACCUACGUUUGGUAAUACGUCGGACUAAGAAGUUGGAUUGUAAAAAUAGUAAAGACCUAUGUUUGGUGCAGUGUCGGACUAAAAAAUAAUUCUUGUAAUAUUUAAAUUUAAUUAAGAAUUUUGACUUAAAAUAAAUAAAUGUUGCAAAGAAACCCAAUUCAAAGAUUUAAAAUAAUAAUAAAUAAAUAAAAAUUCUUAUAUUUUUUUAAAGAAGUUGAUUUUUAAUAUUCUUAAAGAUAAUAUUUUUAACCCAAAACAAAUAUACCAAACCCCACCCACCCCUUCCGUCCUCUCUUCCUCUCUCCAUCCAUCCCCCUCUCUUCUCUCCUCUUUAUUCGACAACCAAGCCCCCCUCCCCUCCUCCUUCUCUCUUCUUAUUUUUCUCUCUUUCCCCUCUCUUUCUUCAACCAAAUCCAUAUCAGGUUUUUUUUUUUUUUUUUAAAUAAACCAUUAGAUGUUGCUGGGGUUGGGGGUAGAGAAAUGAGAGGGAGCCAUUGAUGUUGCUGGGGUUGGGGGCAGUGCAGUGGACGACGAUGGUUCGGAGGAGAUGGGUUUCCAGAGUUGGAUUGGAAGAAAUUCUAAAAAUACGUUUUUUUCUUUUAUUGUUGGGUCCAAUCAGAUCUUGGAGUUUUAGUUUUUUCAAUCAAGAAAAUAUACUUCUUGGAGCUUCAAUUUUGUUGAGGUAGGGAAGUUGCGGAAGAGAAAGUGAUGAAUGGCGUCAGGGAAGAGAAGCCAGGCCAGUGUGUUGGACUCGCCUGUUCAAUUUAGCGACAGUACUAUUUUGUGAACCACAUUUUAGGCUCAUUAUAUUAGAGGAGCUAGUGAGCCAUUUUUUUCACUGUUGGACUGCAUAGUCUCAUUUAAGUUAGUCCUCUCUCCUACCAAACAUGGGUUUUAAGUGCUAUUUUGUCCAGUCCAGGUUAGUGAGGCCUACCAAACAUGCCCAAAAAGUCCAAAACUCAUCUUAGUUAUGGGUCAAAAUAAUUUCGAAGGCCACAUGUAACCUUUAACCUCUAACCCUUCUCCCGGGCUACAUAUAGCCCACCUUUAACCUAGGUCAAAUAUUUUUUGUGACUGCCCAAUUAGAGGAUGAAUCAGGUGUGGGUGUGAGCAGGGGAGGACUUCAUGCAACUGAAAACCAACGGGCAUACGUUGAGAUCCAAGAGCACUAAUUAAAUGCGAUGACAUCAACGCCUUUACUUUAUUUUCUUUUUUCUUUUCUUUAAAGUUUUGGAAUGUUUUAAAUUCGUUUUUUUUUUCCCCAAAAUUAUAUAUAUAAAGAAACUUGUUCUGAUCGUUGGGAGGUCAGAACAUUUAAAACCUAAAAUAUGUCUAUAAAUUUCUUCAAAAAAAUUCACUCAUUUCUUACAAACUUUAUCACAUUUUUUACUUAUUUACUAUUUUCCACACUCAUUUCUCUAAACAACCUAAAUAGUAGUUUAAUUAAUUUCAACAAUACAUAGUAGUUUAAUAUAUGAGUGUUGUAUCAUAAUUUUUUUUUAAACAAUAAAAUAUGCAGGGCCUAAAAAUAUAACCAUACAUGAUUGGAGAGAUGAAAAUUUUUAACCCUACAUUAUUCUUUAAAAUAAUAAUAUUUUAGAUGGCUAAAUUAUACCCGUGCAUUUGGCCUGUAGUCCAUUACUAAAAAUGAAUGCAUAAAUAAAUACUCUUAACCAAUUAAGUUAUAAACUCCUUGAAAAAUUGAGUUGUUUUAGAUAUGACUAAGCCAAGUGGGUUAAUUACUAUCGAAUCACUUGUAAAAUCCACCCAAACGAAAAAUUAGCACCCCUUGCUCUUAGUUUUAGACAUUGAUGUGACAACGAUCAGUUUGAUGUUGUACAAUAAAUGUGGCAUGUGAGUUAGUCACAGCUUUAUCAGGAAUUUGAGUUAUAUUUAAUUAUUAAUUUAGUGUUUAUCCAUAAAAAUGUGGCUCAAAUUGGUUUCUCUUUUGUUGGUUAACAUCUUCCUCUUCUUCUUUACGACAAAUCCAAACACUUGUAAAUUUGGAUCAUCAAUACUUUCUCUAAUUCUGGAAAUUUUAAUUAACUAAUCACGAGACUCUUCCAAAAAAGCAUUGCAAUAUUUUUGUUUUUUUCACCACACUGAACUUGGCCCGUGGCACCCGUACACUGGAUCAUGAUGAUCACACGGUCCAUACUCAUCAAGUGCAUGGCCCCUCCAUGUUUUUCCUGACAAUAUGGAAAAUGAGAGGCUGAGGAACUCGUACAUUUUUUUGUUUUUUGGUUUUUUGUUUUGGGGUUGGAACUUAGAGAGGGCUAGAAAUGCAAGGUGUCCGUUGAGUCAAAGAAUUGACUAGUUAGGCAAAUACAGGAUUCGAUAGUGUAGUGAUUUGAAAUAAUUAUUCUCACAUAAAAAGUUUUGAGUUCGAAUCCUAGCAUCUGUGUAGUGUGCGUGAAUUUAAUAUGUUAUGGCUCAUCUCAAUAGAAAAAGUCUACACAAAAAAGAACCGAUAGCAGAUUGAAAAAGCUAUGGCUACAACUAGCUUCAAUAUGAACCACAUGUGCAUGGCAUGGGCACAUAACAUAAGGUUUAUGAUUAGUUGUACGUCGAACAAAGCAGCUGCUAAUAAGUUGCUUUCUUUGUUCACUCUUUCGGCUUUGGUCCAUACGCUCUUUAUAUCUGAGUAUGAGAAUUGAGACAUUCAUGGCCACAAGUUGGUAGUUGCCACUUUCCAACAUGUUCCAAAUUAGACUACGAGGACCCAUAUGCAUGUUGUGGCCCAAAAACCAAUAUCACUCAUUAAUUUUCUAAAUUUUUUUAAAUAUGAAAACAAGAAUUAAUGAAUUUUAUUUUAUUUUAAUUUUCUGAAUUAAGUGUUAAUUAGUUUUGUACCUUAAUAUAUUAAUUUUUUAAAUAUUUAAUAUAUAAAUUUAUAAUUACUCCAACAUAGUCAUGAGUGUUGGUCCACCAAGAAAAUCGGUUUUUUUUUUUUUUGGUUUUGUUUUGUGGGAUCAAAUACCUGAACAAUAUCCACCAACAAAUCCAAGAGACCGACCGACAUAAAAUAAGAAAAAGUAUCCUACAUCUCUGUUUUCAUUGAACCAAAUGAUUAUUUUAUUUAGCGUACGUUCUUGAAAGAAAAUGAAACAAUUAUUAGACAAGAUCCAAUGGGGUUUUGCUAUGCUUAGUUCUGAAUAAAAUAAUUAGCACUGAUUUGCUUUGCUCUAAGAAGUAUUUGGUUUGUAUUGGAUUGUUGAGUUGGACAAAUUUAAUUGGCAUGCAAACCCUAAUUAUGAAAUCGUCCAAAAAGUAGAAAACAAAUCUGACUGUAUGGAGCCACGAAGCCACUCUGAUAAGUAUCUGAUCCAGUUGAGGAUCUUUGCCGGUUGUUUCACUUUGCUUGUAGCGCCUUCUUUCUUCGACUAAUGUAGCCUCACCUACCUAUCAAAUUGUGUUUCAAUAGAAAUAGACAAAUCAGAGAUUCGUGAAGUUCAUGGAGGAAUUAAUACAAGGAUGUUUCAGCUCCUUUCGAGUUGUGCUUAUACAACCCUUGAACCCAACAGCAAAAUUGGAAAUGUGUGAACAAUACAUGUCAAGCUAGUACUUUGCUUCACUUGCAUACCUUUGAAGCGAUUACUUUGAAACGAUAUCUUUGAUAUCAUGUUAGACAAUUAUUGAACCUAUAAAACUUAACGUAGUCAAUGAGACAACAAUGUAUAUAUAUCUAGCUAACGUAGUCAAUUAAACUAGUUUAUUAUAACAAUGUGGAUCUGUUUUAUUUGUUUUGUUAACAUGAUCAUUGAACUAAAUGCAAGUAGCUAGAUUCAAUGGACCUCCUAGAUUUGGAAGUAAUCACAUUUUCAAUAAUCCAAGAGAAGAAAGGAAAUAGGUAUUCGUUUUGUGAUCCUUUUCUUGACAAAGAUUGAUGGACACGAAACGUUGCAUAUAUAAAGAACAAUGAAAAGGUGGAAAAGACAUAUAUAGCAUCAGUGAAAAUGAUUGCAUAAGAUAUAUCACCUCCUAAACCUAAUUGAUUGAAAAUAAGUUUCCUAGAGUUUGCAUUGCACAAAUACACGAAUAGCUCUGAGCUGGUGCCAUGUGAAAGUCCUUGUUCUUGUUUUGUUUUUGGGACAUACCAACUUGAUAUAAUUGAACUUCCUUGUUGGAGAUUCAGCGGGUCUCGGAGAAUCAAAAGUAAGCAAAGUUCCAUUUGUCGAAGAAAAAAUGGAAUAAAAUAGGUUUUUUUUUCUUUCUUGGUUUCAAACUGACAGAGAUUGAUUAUUGUCACGUAUGCAUGCAUAUGAACAUGGAGGCGGCGAAAAGACAAAACGUUGUACACUUUGAAGUUUCGGUUGUGUUGUUUCAUUGAAGGAAUAUGUAUCGCAUUGGAUUCAUCCGAUGUGUGGUUUGGAUGGUGCACAUAUGGGGAAACAGAGUGUAUCAAUUAUUAAAGCUCUAACCUUACAAUGUUGAUUGUUUGAGUUGAGACCAAUUCAUCUUUAUUUGAUUGAUAUGAUUUACGUGAAAACCGCUGGAUCAAAUAAAAUGAAGAGCUUUAUUGUGAAAUGAUAUAAAGUGGAUAUGACUAUGAAAAAGUAACCAUUUUCAUGACUCAAAUCUCGAUUGAGAUGGUAAAUUGAGUUGGAUACUCACAUUCUAAUAAGACAUCACUAAAAGAAGAGGUUAGAGUUUUUAACUUUAGAAAGAAAAAGUAAAAUAAAGUAUUGGAUUUCAACUUAGCUUAGCUCAAUUUCCUCUUCACUUAUAUUUGGGUUUCCUUUUUAAAAUCAAAUACUUUCAUGGUAAAAUUCGGCCAAUACAUCGAUAUAUCUUGAUUUUCAAGUGUUGACGUUGAUAUUGGGAGGUAAGGUCAUAUCGUCCCCGUAUCAACGAUAUAUCCCCGAUAUGUUGUCGACAUCGUCACUAUUUCCCGAUACCCAUAACAAAAUUCAUAAAAUUUUCAGAAGUUUUGAAGGCAAUUGAUGCAAAUUGAAACCCAAAAAUCUCUAAUCAUUAUUAUAAUAUGCAAUUAAGUUAAAUAGAGGAAAUUAAAGCUUAAUUGGAACACCUAUGAACUAAACAAGCCAUUAAAUCAUACCCAGAACCCUAUAAUAUAUUAAUAUAAAGAAUCUAUCUAUAGUCCACUACCCACAUAUCUCCAAAAACAUCUAACUACCUUUAUGCAUAUGGUUUAUUCAUUCUAAUCAACGUUUUAUUUUCACAUUUUUUAUUAACGCGCAUUACAUACCACUUAUAUUUCAUCAUAUAUAUAUAUAUAUAUAUAUAUCUUAUACUUAGUAAAUUUUGAGUUUAUUUGUUCAAUACAUUUAUUAUAAUGUACAUAACAUCUACAAAAGUUUUACUCUAAAAUUCUGUGUUCCAAAACUUACAAGUCAUUUCUAUUGAUUUUUUUUCAAUACCUAAAAUAAUAGGCCCGAUAUAUCUGCAUAGCCGAUCUUUUAAUCCUUAAAUACUUCCAGUUGGUGUUGAUAUUGUGUUCAUAAUUUUGACAGAAAAUUGGCAAAUGAAUGAAAGGGAGCCCAAAGGGCAACUGGGCCAAGUUCAUACAAUUCAUUCAAAAACAUUGAUCCAGUAGGGAAGUGGGUUCAAGCAUGUAUGUUAUUAAAAUUGGGGAGCUUCCAAGGACACCCAACUAAUUUUCUGUUUUUCGACAAUUGGGUGUGCAUAGAAAACUCCAAACUCAUAAAUAUUUGAACCCAUUGGGCUAAACCGGGCAUAGUGUAUGAACGAGUUAUAAAAAUCUGGUCCAAUUAUCCAAAUUUAUACUGAGUCUUGUAACCCCAAAAAGGGCAUGGACUUUUGAAUGAAUUAUAUGAAUUUGGCCCACUUACCAAAAUUUAAAAUGAUUUUGAUCAAGCACUUUAAAAAAACCAACCAUGGAUGAUUUGGCCUAUUUUUACAAUGGCCCAAUCAUUGGCAUUCAGCCCAUUUUCUAGUAAGCUGAAACCAACUCUGAUUUUAGAAAGCUAGGGACCUUCCAGUGUUUGCAAAAUGGAAUUUCAACAUUGGAAACCAAAGAGAUCAAAAUCAACAAUUGCAAUUCAUGCAAACCAUCAAAGAUGACAAAAUGGAUUGAGAAAACAAGUAGAUUUUCAUUUCAUAAUCAACCUAGAAAAACAUCAACUUCAAGCAACUGCUUCCUAAACUACCCAACAACCACAACACCAAUUAACCCCUUUACAAUUCCCAAUUCGAAACCCUAAAAAUCCUAACCACCAAACCCGUAC
This 55201-nucleotide long non-coding RNA is filed under the name Prunus persica (peach). RNAcentral describes it as "long non-coding RNA (PPER_LNC006625)". The record is from RNAcentral. Lineage: Eukaryota; Viridiplantae; Streptophyta; Magnoliopsida; Rosales; Rosaceae.